This 53324-nucleotide long non-coding RNA is filed under the name Gossypium barbadense (sea-island cotton). RNAcentral describes it as "long non-coding RNA (GBAR_LNC013071)". The record is from RNAcentral. Lineage: Eukaryota; Viridiplantae; Streptophyta; Magnoliopsida; Malvales; Malvaceae.
AAAAAAAAAAAACUUUGGAGAGGCUAAGGUGAAAACCCGUAAAGGGCACUUUGAGACCAAAGAGGGCUUGAGUCGAAAACCCGAAAAAGGGCGACUCAAGUAUUGGACAGGAUUGGAACAUCAGGACUUGAGCGGAUCAAAUUUUGAUCAGGGGCAUAUGAUGAUCUUCCUUUACUUGAACCAAUAAGAAAGGAUAUGCAACGUCUUGGAACAUUGACAGAGUAUUGCAGAUCUCCUGAACACCUGUCAAACUCAGAAGGGUCUUCGGAAAGUUUGUACAGAGAAACUCAAUCUGCGAUAACUGGGGCACCUAGUUCUUAUGUGUAUUCUUGAAAAUACAUUCUUUCUUCCUUUCCUUUUGUGAAAAUCCACAUUCUCAAUCCACUUCUUUGUUACCUUUCUUUCGCCAUCUUUGAUGUUUUAUUUGAGUUAUGAUCAGAACCAACUUUAUUUUUAUCUAUUAUUAUGACCUUUUUGCAAACAUAUUGCAUUGGAAUAAUGAUUAAUGGACUAAUAAAACGUUCACAACGGAGGUUUUGCAUAUUACUUUGAAAAGUUCUAGAUAAUAUAGGAACCUGAAACAGGACUAUUGUUUAGAACGCGCCAAUUUUAAAGGUUGGAGGUAUCUAAAAAGGAAGAGUCUAAGUUAAAGACUACCUUUUCAGAUUUUGUUGUCUAAACAUUGAUUGAACAAAAUGACAAGAUGUCGUGUUGGUGGCAAAGCUUCAAUGAACCAAAAAACGAUGUUUACCAGACAAGAAGAAAAGGUCUUCUAUGAGAAGAAAAUUUUGCAUUUGUGCAUGAGCAUUUGGUAUGACACCUUAGGGAUGAGGUAAAGGACCAAAGAGUUUCACAUUCAAUGUCAUUGAAUUGCGAUAGGAGGAGAUUGAGAAAAGCCAUACCUUUCCACCCUUGGGUUACAAUGGGAGAUUGAUGGUACAAAUUUAAUGUCCCAGUGGAUUGAACUUUGACGUGCACAGUGGGGGGCAAUCAGAUUAAGUGUUCCUUGGGAUAUGCUAACCGAGCAAGAAGGCAGUGUAGCGCGUCAGUGAUAAAGCCUUAAUAAGCUUUUGUGUGAUGAUAACCUAAGCAUUAAGGAAUCGUUUUCAUGACAUUUUGCAUGUCAUUCAUACACAUCUAGUUAGGAGCAUUUGUUUCAUUUUGAUAAUGUCAUCUUAAUCAUUAAGCAUAAUUAGGGUCAUUAUAAAAGGUCUUAUUCCCCUGAGAUUACGGUGGAACAGACCAAAGAAUUGCAGAUCUUAUCUCCUUGAGAUUACAGCGGAGCAGAUUGAAUAUAGUAAUCCUAUCUCCCUGAAGUUACAGUGGAGCGGAUUAAAGGAUCUUAUCUCUCUGAAGUUACAGUAGAGCAGAUCGCACCAGGUCUUAUUUCCCUGAGAUUACAGUGGAACAGACUAAAAAUUUCAGAACUUAUCUCCCUGAGGUUACAGUGGAGCAGAUCGAGGCCAGAAAUCUUAUCUCCCUGAGAUUACAGCGGAGCAGAUUGAAGACACUAUCCUAUCUCCCUGAAGUUACAGCGGAGCGGAUUAAAAUAAAGGAUCUUAUCUCUCUGAGGUUACAGCAGAGUAGAUCGCAUCAGGUCUUAUUUCCCUGAAGAUGCAGUGGAAUAGAAUAAAACCACAAAUCUCGUCCCCAUAAAGUUGCUGCAAAAGAAGAUUGAAGCUACAAGUCAGAUCUCCCUGAAGUGCAGUAGAUCGAAGCGACAAGACACAGUGAACUGGAAUGGGGCUACUUGAAGAAGAAAAGCAUCAAGAAGUCAAGACUCGGCGAGACCGGGCAAAAUUGGUCUUUUUCAGUCUUUGCUCCAUUCUCGUUACACGAUAACGAGCAAAGAGGGGCAGCUGUACAGCCCAAUUUUGCCCUAAUUCCAUUACCCAAUUUGCCUUGGCCCAUUUCCAAACCCACCUAGACCUAGCCUAACCCGGAGCCCAAAACAAGACCCAACUAGCCCAACCCCCUCAAAGCUAAGCUAGGGUUUCAGAAAAGAAACCCUAGCGCCGCAUCUAUGGUCUUUAGACCUUCGGCCUUCUGGCGCCGUCGCCGUACCCCGCACCCUUGACCCUCUACGCCACCAUCAUUUGUCGCGUCCCAUCCGCACCUACUAGCUUCAUCAACACCUGCAACACAAAGCAACAGAGGACACAAAAAUGCAAAAAUAGAAAACAACAGCAGAUAAAAAAUACAUUUUGAUUGUAAUAUUGGAUUUGUUUUAUCUUGGGUAUAAAAGGCCAUUUUCUGGAAUCUAAAAGGCAUGGUAAACAGAACAGGAAAUCAAUAAAAAAGGUGAUUUUCGAAAGGCUCACUGGUUUCUUCCGUUUUUCUUUUUCUCUUUUUUUUGGGUUUUCUUUUCGGUUUUGAUUUUGAUUCAUCUUCGAAAAAGAACAAAAAAACAAAGUUUAAAAGGGAGGGAGAUUACCUUGUGGUCACGAUCUUGGCCCUCCUCGUCGCCAUCGGAGAACGGGCUAAGGUCGAGGGCCGUUUGAACGCCAUCAUUGUCGGAAGGGCGCGGAGGAGAGAGCAUUUGGCUCUCUGUUUUCUUUGUUUCCUUUUUCUUUUGUUAAGGGAUGAGUGUAGGUUACCAGAUUAGGUUUUGGGGGGGGCUAUUGUAUGAUGUGAAACGACGCCGUUUGGAGUCUGAUCAGUAACUCCAAAACGGCGCCGUAUUGGGCUCUGACCCGCGCGUUUUUUACUCCUGGGAUAAUUCCUGCCUUGGUCCCUCCGCAUUUCUUAUCUGUUUAAUGCGGUCCUCUUUUUAUAUUUGCAAUUUUGGCAUCGAUUUCUGCUUCUGUUUCAGUUCGGUCCCUGGACUAUGCGCAUUGACUUCGUUGGAACUGUGUCGUUUAAUCGACAAGGGUUAUUUCCCUAUCCAGUCCCCCGCUUUUUCUAUGCGCAUUCAGAAUAGUCCCUCCGCUUUAAUUUAUUUAUGUUUUGACCCCGAAUUUCGUUUAGAUCUUUAGUUUAGUCCUUUUUGUUUUUUAUAUUUUCUUAAUAAAUUUAUUAUUAUUAUUGUUAUUAUCAUUAUUAUUAUUAUUUCUUCCUAUUUAUUUUUAUUUAUUUUAUUUAAACCUUUGGUACGUAUAUAUAUAUAUGCAUAUAUUUGUAUGACAUACAUGCAUUAUUCUUAUAAUAUAUAUAUACUUACAUAUUUUCAUACAUUUUAUAACUUAUGUACAUAUCUAUAGAUCUAUAUACAUGUUUUCAUUCUUAUAAAUAUAUACAUAUUUAUAUAUAAUCUUUAUAGUUUAAAAUAUACUUUUUUAUAUUUUUAAAAUCCACAUACAUACACCUUUUCAAUAUAUUUUUAACAUGUAUAUAAAUUAACGUAUUUAUUUGUAUACAUAUGUAUAUUUUCAUAUUUUAAAACUUUAAUUUGUACAUAUAUAUUUUUUCUUUUACUUUACAAUAUGUAUACACUUACUUUUAUAUGUAUUUCUUUAUUCUCGUAUUCCAUUAGUUUUAUACAUCUAUAUACAUGUACAUGUUUUUAUAUAUACGUAUAUUAAUUUAUUUUAUUAAAAUAUACUUUAUAUAUUUUAUUAAUUCAUGUAUACACAUAUUUUAGCUCAUGUCUAUAUAUAUCUUUUUAUACUUAAUUGUAUUUGCUGUUUAUUUAUUUCAUUUUCGUCAUUAUUUUGAAUGGAUGAUUUAAAUUUAUUCGUUUUUAUAUUGUGUUAUUUUGUAUGUUAUAAAUUUGAUCGUUCAAAUUAAUUGCUAUCGUUUGCAUCGUUUUUAUAUUUUCAUGUUCAUUAUGAUCUUGCUAUGCAUAAAUAAUGUAAUUUGCUUUCACUAUGAUUUUGUGCUUUAUUUUUUAUUCGAUAUAACAAAAAUUUAUUUUUUUCAAAAAAUAGCAUUUCGUGUUUGGAAUCGAGAAAAUCGUGCCCUAACUUACUGGGUUUCGUUUUUCUUGAUAAAUCUAAAUGCACGAAUCUUUUCAAGCUCAAAUUUUAAAUGAUCCCGGGAUCUUAAAAAGAGUCGCGUCCUAACUUACUGGUCGUAAUCUCAUUUUAAAUCCGAGAUGGCUAAAAUAUCUUUUAAAUAAGCAUUUUUUAUUCGCGUAUCGGGAAUUUGAGACAUUGUAUUCUAACUCACUGGAUAUGAUUCUCUUUCUCGAUUAACGUGAAAUAUACUUCUUUUCCCAAAACUUUAAUGCCAGGAUCGUAUUUUUUAAUUCUUUCAAGUUCUCAAUUUUCGACAUCAAGACAUUAGAUAAUCAACUAGGUACCAAUUUCUGGGCGUUACGAGGGUGCUAACCCUUCCUCGUACGUAACCGACUCCCGAACCCGUUUCCUAAAUUUAGUAGACCAAAACCGUUGUUUUAAUAAAAUCAAAUUAUUUAUUAAAAACAACCUCUUUCCAAGGUGACCCAAUCACACCCCAAAAAGGAUUGGUGGCGACUCCCGUUUUUUCGUUUUCAUCAAAACCCAAGUCGACCCCGUUUUCAUCAAAAAAUGGUGCCAACAGGGUGGACUAUCUGUGUUAAUUACCCAAAAAAAAUUAUGUCCAAUAGUAUGAUAUUCGAAAUUAUUAUGAAAUUAUUGAUUAAAUUUUACAUCGUCAACUCAAUUAAAAAUUUGAGUCGUAUUUUUUGUAGCUUAAACUUAGAAAUUAGGUUGAUUUUGAUAUAGUUGAUUUUGUUUGACUUAUCUUUAUUAGUUAGAUUUGAUAAUUUUGUUUAUAUGACAUUCAAAUAUCAUAUUAUGUCAUUACUUAAAAAUUUUGAAAAAAUAAAUUAUAUUAAUUAAAGGUUUAUCCGUCCUUAAAAAAUUACCUUAAAGCCGAUCGAGUCUUAAUUGUUACGCUGAAAGACAUUAUUCUCUUAUUUAUAAGUUGAAAUUUGGGAGGUAUUAUGGAUAGUUUUAGACAUUAUGUUAAAAAUAAUAGACAUGAUCGUAGCCUAAACCUUAAACUUAUAAAAUUUUAUUUUUAAAUAAAAACCACCACUUCCUAGAAAAAAUUAAGCAAUUUUUUUUGUGUGAAAUUUUACCAUUCCAUUUUUUUUAAUUUUAACUUUACUUCAAUAAUAAUUCCUUUCAAAAAAAAAUCGUUACUUAAAAACAAAUUAAAGCAUAACAAAGGAAAGGAGAGAGACAGAGAGAUACCUUAAAAAACCAAGAAGCAGGGGAUGCUUCGAUUUAGAAAGCUCAGCAGCUUGAUUUAUGAACUCGCGAACUCAGUAGCGUAACUCGACUAAUAAAGCACUGAGUUGAUUUGCCGCUGAAAUGGGACUCAAUUAUGGGUUUUAGGGUUUUAAAAAACACACAGCCGGGGAAGAGGAAAGGAGUGAGCCGAAACCUUUAGACUGUUUAGUUUAGGGUUUUUAAAUAAUUAAUAAUAAUUAAUUUUUUCAGGGUACUUGAGUUUUUGUAAUUUAUUUGAAAUUAGUCUCUUUAUUUUUAUUCCAAAUAAAUAUUAUUUUAGCUUUCAAAUAGGAGAAUUUAAAUUUUGAAAUCUAAAAAAUAGAAAGGAUUAAAUUUCAAAUUUAUAAAAGUUUGAGGGACUUAAACAUAUUUUAAUCUCAAGUAAAAAUAAAAGUAGAAAUACUAAAUUACAAAUCUAUAAAAAGUACAAACACUUAAAAAGAAAAUUCAAAGCCAAAUCAUGCAAAAACAAAUAGUAGUUUUCAUGUAUUUAUUUAUUUUUGUUUUUACUUCGUUAAAAAGAAAAACUAUGCAGCUUUGGCUGUAGUACAAACCAGGCAACCACACGACAGAUACUGAAAAGCACUGCCUCCAUCAUCAUCAGCCUCGCCUUCCAUGAUCUCUUCAAGCAUUUUGUCAAACCUCCGAUCGCUACCGCCGGCUACACCGCUGCUCGAUCUUCGCUUUUUCAUGGCUUCUGUCCUCCGUUCAUGAUCUGCCAUCCUUUUCUCAAAAAAAAAAAGUAUCAUAAGAACAGUGCCUUGAAAAGAAGAAAAAAACAGAAAAAGAAGAGAAGAAAAUAAGAUGAUGAAAUUUAGGUACUCUUUGGAGAAGAUAAAAUGUUGAGUUAUGGUUGAAAUAGUAAGAGGAAGACCAUAUGUUGCAUUAAGGUUUAACAUUGUCUGCAUUUUUUUUUCAAAAAAAAGAAAUCAAUUUAUUUUGUUCUAAAAAAGAAGUUGAUUCAAAGUUGAGAGGGGUUUUGUGUUAUGGGGAAAUGGAUGGCUCAUAGUAAUAUAAUGUAACGUAUUUGUUCCCCUCUUCUUAUCUCAUUAUUAUUAUUAUUAUUAAUUAUUGUUGGUUGGGACUUGGACUGGUAUGCCAGACUCCGUAAUUUUUACCCUAGCGAUUUAUAUCAAUUUAUUACUUACAAAUUUAGAAUUUAACCACAACAAUUUUUUUUAACAAUUUUAUUAUUAAUUUGGAUCAUAUUUAUUUAUUCUUUCUAACACAAUAUUUAGAAUUAUUUAAGGACGAAACUAAAAUUUUUUAAAUUAAAUUUUAAUAAUUUAUAUCUUUAUAUUUUUUAAAAGAUUAAAUUUUUAUUAUUUUAAGAAGGUAAAAUAUAAUUUUAUCUUUAUUAAAUUAAAAUUUUUAAAUUUUUAAAAAAUUUAAAUAGAAAAUUUUCCAUAUUAAAAAGGGACGAAGCCCUUACCAACCCUCUUGAUACGCCACUAAAACUACCCAUAACCUUUCGAUCAACUCAUAAAUAAGAAAAUAAUACGCUUCAUCACAUUCGAACCAAUUUUCUCUUACAAUAACUAUAAUACAAUUUAUUGUUUUUUUAAUAUAUUAGUUUGACGUUUUAAAAUAAAAAAUACCUAAUAACAAUUUAUAAUUAAAAUAUUAAUAUUAUAAAAAUAAUCAAAAUUUUAAAACUAUAAAUGUAGAAAAGUUGGAUUUCUAUAAAUAAAUGUAUAAAAAUAAAAUUUAAAUUUGUAAAGAGUAUCGCAUAUUAUAACCUAUAUACAAUUAUUUGGGAAAAAAAACCAAUAUAAAAUUAAGAAAAAGGUAAAGUCUUUAAAUUAAAAAAAUAAAGAAAUUAGAAACAAUUAUAUAACCCAAAAUUUGCAUAAAAGAUCAUCAUUUUAUAUUUAUCUACUCUACCAAAACUCCCACUUAAAAAUCAAUUUCUUAAUUGAAUUACCCGCUAAUUUAUUAUUAACAUAAAUUACUCGUUACUAUUCAUGUAAUUUUUUUUAUCGUAAACUAUUAUUAUUUUCAAAAUGAAAUUUCCUAAAUGAAAAUCCUUUAAUUUAGACAUCGAUCCAAUUAAAAAGAGCAUAGUUAUAAGAGGAGAGUAAACAUUAAUAAGUUUGAUACAAACUUUCAAACAAAUUUCGACCCUUCAAUUUUAUAUCGAAUUCAAGCUUCUAAUAAGGUUAAAAAAAUAAUUUAAUAAAUAAGAAACUCCCUACUAAUUUUCAUUAAAACCUGUUCGCAUUUCUUUAUUUUUUUUAAUAGAAAUUUACUAUUAACUCAGCACAAGUUUUUAUAACAUAUUUUAUAUUUCCAAAGUGAAUAAAGUUAAUACAAUAUUUAUGAUUAUAAAAAAAAAUAACGACGAUCCAAGAUUUAAUAACAUAAUUUGAACUACUUUAUAUUAUGAUCGAACCAGUCAAACCUGGCUCCCCAAUCUAACUAAUUCAAUUAAAUAAAUUGUUAAAAGAAUCACAGAAGAAAAAAGUUAAAUUCGGGCAGGUCAACAGGUCUAAUGCCUUUCUCCAUAUCAAUAACCCUACUAAGUCUCGGACCAUGCUCCACUAACCCCGCUAAUAAUAAUAAAAUCAGAGCCGAAGUGUCAUGCACCAUAACAAAGCUACUCAUUCAUGUAUUCAAAACGUAGCAGCAAUGGCAAAGGAAAAUUAUCAGCCAAAAGGAAUAAUAUUAAAAAUUAAAAAUAAAAAAAGGGGUUUCUCUAUGAAUUUAAGUGAAUUUACAAAGCUAUUUGAUCCCAACCAUCUUAAAGACCAAAAAAUAGACAAAAUGGGUGGAUUUCUUUUGUGUUCAUUUCACCCCCCAACUGCAUGCAUAUCUAUUUAUCCAAUUCCAAUUUAACUGUACAUUUUUAAUCAAAAACGACCUCCCUCACCUGUGUUUUUUAACUCUAGGGUAAAAACUGCUUGUUUUAUGCUAUCACGCCUAGAAUAAAACUAGAAUUAGAAUUUGAGCAUUCAACACUUACAGGUAUCAACGGCCUCAAGCUCUGGCCUCACCUUGGAAAAGUCGUCAACACAGCAACGUUGAAGCUGCCCCCUUCUUUUUAAUUUGGCGGCACUUUCGUAUUGAAAAUUUUAAUUUCGUGUUUUAACUGAAAUGCCAGUCCAGUUCUUCAUGAGUGAUCACCAAAAUUAUCCACAAGUUGCAGUUAAAUUUAAGCAAACACAAUUACUCGGUGUCUGAGUCGAUAGAGAGAUAUAAUCUUGGUCGAACUGACCGUUUUUGCCGAGGAAAUGAGAAAGGGCUCUCUGUUCUUUGCCUACUUGACUUCCCAUUUCUACUGUCGUUCAUACCAAGCAACAGAGAAGCUGCAAAAGUAAGUAACAAUCAAUGCUACAAACUACAAGAAAAAAGAGUAAUGCAGUGAAUUACGAGUCUAUACAAUUUCAUCUUUCAAAUAUUUAAUACAGCAUUUUUUCCAAAAGGGCAAGGAAACUAACCAGCAUCCAUAGCACGCUCUUUGGAAGGUAUCUGCUGCCUCGACUUCAAUCCAUUCACAAUUGUUGAGUCUCCGUGACCACCAGUUGCACCACCUCCAAGCCUAAGGGAGAUCCAAUCGUCGCCAUUCGGUACAUCAGCCUGAUCUCUCAAAUCAGCCUCUGCUGAUGCACCUGAAGGAUGCGUUGGAAGAAAUAUCUGAAGUGAGGGAUCUUCUCCACCAAAGAAGGUACUGUCAACCAAGCUGUCAUUUAGAUUUGUAUCCACCUGACCAAUGGAAGAAGUAGGUACUAGAUUUGUAGAUCCCAUAGUUGUCUCAGGAGCCAAUGGAUAACCAUUCAUAGUCGAAGGGCAAUUGAGAGAACUACGCUGCAGAUCAACUAAGGUAUCUGCAACAUCGGGAUCUGUAUUAAAUAGUUGAAACCCUGAGCCAUCUUGUGUUCCCGUAGGUAAUGACCACAAAGGUAUGUCAAAUUCAUCAUGGGUUGUAAAAAGACCUAAAUUAGCAGCAGGCCCAAGAGGUGGUUCUUCUGAAUACGGAUGAGACAUUCCAGGAGGUGCAACAGGAAAACCAAGUCCCCCACCAUCAUUUUGGUUGUGAUUAUCCUUAUACACAGUUGGAGGAGAUAUCAAUAUUUCAUUCUCUUCAUCUGAAUCACUAAGAACAAUAACUUCUGCAUUUCCUGCUGGUGCCGAUUGGUUUGGGUCAGUAAAUUCAUAUGCUGCAUCUACAUUCAGAGACACAGAAUCAAGUUCAAUCCCGUUGCUUGUAAAGUCAUAAGUUCCACCAGCAUCCUGAUUUACACUGGGAUCUUCACCAUCCUUACCACUUCCAGUAGCACUGCUGCUCAUUGGUAUAAGUUUUUGCUCAUGACGUAGCCUGUCGUGUAAUCUACUAGCAGAAGAGGUGUUCAAGUCUUCAGGUUUGCUAAAAUGCCAGUACCCAUUUUGAUUCUUCUUUAUUCCAAGUUUCAAACCUGUAUGCCCUUCUGAAGGACCUUCAAGUUUGAUCUGCUUUGAAAUUUCAGCUGUCGGCUUAUCCUCCACACUGCCCGAUUCACAUAGGGUACUGUCAGGAGUGUGCCAUAGUGCAAGAUCACCAAGCUCUCUGCGUUCAUUCUCACUUUUAACCUUUGCACGCCAAGAACCAUCAGGCUUGACCUCAAUCUCAGUAAUGUCUUCGCCGCAAUUUCUCAUCUGUAUGAUAGCUGAUCAUCAAUAUCACAAAUUGACAUCAUGGGAUAAAUAUAGAACAACAGGGUACCGACCUUGCAUGUGAUGCGAUUAAAAUAAGGAUCAAUUAUAACAUGUUCCAGCGAGUAGUUCUUCAGGCAAAUUGGGCACUGCCACUGCAUUCAUGCAAACACUUGUCAGAAAGCCUGAAAGAAUUACAAAUAAUAACAAACACUGUAAUAUUGGAGCUUGCCUUCCUAGAGCGUUGGUUAAGCUCCACAAAAACUUCAAGAUCAAAACAACCCAUGUGAACGCAAGGCUUAAACCUUCCAGCGACCUUCAUUCUUGAGCCGCUCAUCUGUCAAGGAUAUGCAAAUAAAAAUGAAUAUCACGAAGCAACGGUAAAAGGAGAGCACAGUGAAGAAAUAGUCCAUCCAAAUUCUUUGCCACUGAACAUUUGCGGGAGAAAAAGAAGAGGUAGUAGAAUCAUCACCUCUUACAUGACUUAAAUUAGAAUAAAUUGCAUAUUAUACAGAUUUAUAUAUACAAACACGAUAAUAUAAACAGAGGUCAUAAGAUAAGCACACAAAAACUAAGAACAACUGUUGCUAUGAUAAAGUUAAGUUCUUUAUGGAACAAAGCACAAGCAUGUGAUCGCACAUAUUCUCCAUGAACACUAAUACUUCACGUACGCCAGACCAUCACCUUUCAGAAAAUAAAUCUAAAGUAGUAUUGGCCCAAACAGUAGAAAGGAAGCAUGACGCAGCUCUAAAGCAGAAACCAUGAUAAAUGAGCAUAAGCAGUGUUAAGAAAAGAAACAAACCGAUUGAUUUGACCAUUUCAACCAGGAAAAUCUGGCCAAUCAACUUAGGAACUUCUAAUUUAUCAUAUAUAAAGCUACAUACAAAUUAUUAUAGACUAACAACUUGUAUUUAGUAUUAAUUUAAUAUCAAAAACAUAUAUUUAACAUUAAAUUAUUUUUAAUUGAACAUAUGUUUAAUAUGAAGUACUUUUGCAUCAUUAUGUACACCUUAUUGACCAAGAAGGAUAACCUCAGCCAACGUUAAUACAACCAUGUAUUGUACACACAAUGAGGUUAGAUACCUCCGCUAUUGACAUUUUACAGUAACUAUGCAGACACAUAAGUCAUGCUACAAGAAUUUGAUCUACAAAUUCAGUAGGGUACAAUAACCAUCUAUUCCAGACAUGCUUCACAAGAUAAACUAAUUAAACACUUGAAAAAUGAUGACCAAUCAAGUACAUGUAAUAUUUUUAGUAUAAAAAUCAUGCACAUCUGAAUAUAGGCAAUAGAUAGUUAGCAUAUUAUAAAACUAUAUAGCUCACAGGGCAGCGUAGGUUGACUCCAAAAAAAUCUGCAACAACUUCUAGGUCACUGUCACUAUCACCAUUGUCAGUUGCAGUUCCGCCACCAACACAACGGCGAACACGAGAAAGAGCAUCUUCGAAACAUUCACCAUCAUUCUCCUUGGGAAUCAUGUUGAGUAUCUAGGACAGGCAACAUAAUAAAGAUAUGGCAAGUUAGUUUCAGCUGCAUAACCAUAGAGGGAAUUGUAGUUUAAGCCAUAGUACUAAGCUAUAUAUUAUAUAAUACUAUGUGGCCAAAGAAAAAGGAAGCGCCUACUAUUGUCCUUAGUAGGACAAAAUCCAUUAUCUCAAGUAUAGCUUCAUAUUAUUUGCGCUGAGACUAAAAAACAAAAGAGAAUCAUAAAAGCAUGUCACCCUCAUUACCAGCCCAAAACAUUUAGAUAAAUUCAGCCAGAUAUCUCAUUAUUUCUUUCCUUCUCAGCUAUUCUAUUAAAAUGGACCCCCAUUAGGCAAACCAAUAGGCAACAAUAUGCACAAUAAAUAAGCCAUAAAGGAACAAAAAAACAUACGACCAUGGUAAUAACGUGAAGAAUGGAGCCCUUUACAUAAGAAAGAUUAAAACCAAAUAAUAAAUAUGAAAGCCCCAAAUCUGAUCUCACAAUUUCCUUCUUAUCUCUUCAUUUCUAGAUUUUUCCUCUACUGUAGUCUCUCCAUUUUUUCCAGCUCAUCAAGUCAACCUUUUAAAUUACAGCCAUGAUAAAGCACCAUUCUCUCUUCAUUAUUCAAUCUUUUUCUCUCAAUUUACUUCAUGGAUGAUAAAGCAUUCUUGUUCAUUGUGAAGUACUAAGAUUUUUAAAGUAAUUGAAGAAAGCAAAAGGGAGAAAAUGACCGAAUUUAGUGGCAUUCUCCGCACUCUAUUUUCAUUAGAUCCCAUGCCCAUUUCAAUGUCAUGCUCACACAGGAACCUCACCCAAUAUGCAAAGAAAUGAUCAAAUAGGCGGUCAAAUGUCUAAUCCGUAGUCAUUUUUGCAAGAGCGUGAAACAUAUAUCCGACGCAUUCAUAUGAAAAUAACACUGUCAACUAUGACAGCACUAAAUAUAUUUGCAUUCUGUUCUGCUUUGUGAGCAAACCAAUCAUCACUGCCUAUAUUAAUCAAAGAACUAGCAGGCAUUGGGAAAAAAAACAUUUUUAUUUUGCAAAAAGGAACAUAUAUAAUUUUUUACCACAAAAAUUCCGAGACAGCAAAUUAAUCAAUCUUGUACUUCCAAUGUGUGAACAAUCCAUAAAGGGUUGAUGUUCUGAACAUACCUGUUGAACAGUUCGUCGUUUAACUAUUCUAACUCCGAAACAGAAGAAGCGAGCAUCGCAUCCGGUCAAAGUUAUCUUGUUAAUUCCAUCUUUAGUACAUGGAGUUAUCUGACCAGAAAAAACACAAUAAAAAAGUGUUCAGACCAUGGAUGCUUCUUAGGUAGCCAACAAGAAGUAACAGGCUUUAAAAAGCACAUGCAAUAACCUGCCAGCAGGCUUCCCCAUCCAUUCCAAUCACAUGCACGCACAGGUAAAGGGUAAAUUCUAAGAAGCAUAUGAUUAUGUAUACAUGGUGCGAGAAAAAAAAAAGCUCUUUUAUGGGAGGACAGAACUCACAAUUGGACCAUCAUCACGGCCAUUAGCCCCAAGCAAUUGUGAGCCAGGUCUAUUAAUAGCACGAACAGGAACACCUGUUUAAAAAACCGUCAGUUACUGAUCAAAGUUGAAAUAAAAAAUUGCAUAAAAAAUAUGUUGAGGUCAAGAAGAAUAGAGUUGUGACUAGGAAAAAUCUAAGGCAAAAAAUGCUAAGCAUGGUUCUUUCUUUUCUUUUUUCCCCUUUUAGCUAGAUCCAAGUAUGUUUCUCAAUAAACAGUAGAAAAAUAAUUAAGCCGUAAAAGGAGCAAUAAACUGCUAAGUAGUCAAAGAAAACCAUUAAUAAUCAUACCAUUGACCUGUAAAUCUGCAUAUUGAGGCCACUGCAUCCUGAAUGGAACUUUGUCAUUCAGAAGCAUGCACCAUGCCUAUUUGACAAGAUGGAAAACAAAAAUAUCAGGAUAAAUAACAAAAAGAAUUAUAACAAAUUGCACUUUUUAUUUUACACUAGCCAACCUGGACAUCAUACUCUUGUUUUGCCAGCAAUUCCCUAUCUGCUCUGGUCAGUUGGAAUGUUUUCUCAACGCUUUGCAUUGGAUUUGUACUGCAAAAUGUAGGAUAUGAAUCACUAAACUAACAAACUACUAUGAGCGAGGUCACAAAGCAUUAGAUAUUAAAGUACAAAUAUAAUGACAUUCACACCAAAACAACCUGGAAGUUUACUUGGGUUUUUUUUUCUUUUUUGGGGCGGGGGAAGAGCUUUAAAAUUUUCAUACAGUACACUCACCCAUCAGUAGGGAUAUUUGCAGUCGUCAACUUCACUGGAUAUAAAGGGUUAGCAAUAGUAAGCCAAAAACUGCACAUUCAGAACCACAUCAGGAAUUAAUAGGAUGUAAUGUAAAAUAAGGGAUAACAGAUUUAAAAAUAUUUCAUAACUCACUAAAGUUAUGCCUAGAAAAGGAUACUCUUGAUGCAUCCAGAUCAAAUACUUUCUUUUUUAUGAAAGAUUACAAUUCAAAUACUUGAUGAAGUGUUUACAGUAGAAAACAAAUAUAAGGUGCAGCAAGCACUAACUGCUUGACAAAUAGCAUCGUUCUUCAAUGUUAAAGAUGAUUCAGUAUUAACUUUUUGUACAUCAAUAUAGCAUUAUAGCUACAAAUGAUUGUAUUUUGCAAAUUUUCUGAGGUGCUUUUGUAGUCCGGCACUAAGGCACAUUGUGCAGGCACACCUAAGCGCACACCAACACAACACUGAUUUAAUGUGCACUGCAAAAAACUAGUUCCUACAUUUCCUCACACUAUCAAAAGCAAGUUUAUAUUUACUAAACUUGCAUCCUAAUUACACAUUCACACUAUCAAAGAGGUUUAACAAGUAAUUCUUCAUUAUCCAACCAAACUAAACUACGAAUGUCUGCAAUGUCAACAUUUAUAAGGAUGGUACACAUUCAAUUGCAUGUGAAAUAUAAGAAAUAAUUGGCAUAUUUCUAUAUCAUGACAUUGAACUUCAGCCAAUAACCAAACUUAACAAGUACAAAGAUUGACCGUCAAUGAUGAAGUGAUCAUACAUUUUUGGAAGCGCACGGAUGCAAACACACACACACACAUACAUAAACAGAGAAGAGACAUACGGAUCAGCUCGUUUCAGACGACAAAGCUCACAACAAAAGAAAUCAGGAAGUGCCGGAUUUCCUUCCAUAGGCUUCUCUGGAAUUAUAACACAACCAAUGUGUUGCCGUACUUGGCAAGUCGGAUCCUUACACUGAAUAGAGAAAUGAGAGAAAGCAAAAAAUCAAUAAUUCAAUUUGAGAUACAAGAAGCACAAUAUUUGUAGAGUAAAAUAAGACCAGGAUAUCCUCAGGAUACAUUAUCCCUUCUCAAAAUGGAGAAAAGCUUAUCAUACAAAUCAGAAUUAUGAAAAGAAGCAAUUAUAUGUUAAUACCAGGAUAUAAUUAUAGCAAGAAUCACUCAAAAAAGCAGGCAGUAGAAGUAAAAGAACAUCAGAAGCAUCCCAUCUUAUAAAAUUGCAUCAACGCAAGAUUCAUAUGAAAGUAGACAAACCUAGAAAACUGCAUUAGAAUACAUCUACUGCAGAAAAAGGUCACUGGGAGGACACCUACUUCAGUUUUGAGCUAAAUGUCAACCUUGAGGAGAUAAAUGGUUCCAUUGUAAAUUAAAGAGCAAGAAGAAAAUCUAGGAGGAAGUCUAAAGUGCACAAGUCUAUACACUUGUUCAAAAUUGAUCUGUCUUUGCUAUCAAAUCCGAAAAAGCAGUCAAACCAGUUAUCAGAAAAACUAAUGACUUCAUGAAGAAAAAUAUGAAGACGUUGCUUAUGUGUGCAAGUCAAGGGGCAAAAAUCUAAAUCAUAAAAUGACACCACCAAAAGGAAGUAAGUAAUACAAAAUGAUGUAUAAUACAUCAUUUGUAUCAAGCAAACACAAAUCCCAAUUUGAAAAGCCAGAGAAUCGAUCUUAAAUAGGUGGUCACCCCAAAGUCCCAAACAUACAAUUGUGACAUCCAUAUCAUUUGACAUAAAAUAAUGAGGUCAAGAACAUUCAGCUCAUUAUCAUUACCCUGAUAAUGUCGUCAGACUCCGAUGAACUUCCGCAGGGGCAACGAACUUUCACAUCUGGUUGGAAGGUAUCCUCUACUUCUCCUUUAAUUUUAACAUUACUGCUGUCUGACACACCCUGCCCCUUUGAUGCCAAUUCCGUGGCACCAGAAACCUGCAUCUUCCUGAGGACAAGAAAUACAUUUUAAAGAGAGGAAAUAAAGUAACACAUCUGGUUACUUCAAAGCAUAUAAUAAGCAGAUGCACUACAUCUGGUUAGCCAGCAUCAUCCUACCUAAAAAGUAAGUUGGUCCUUGUUUGCAGAAGGGGAGAAAAGAAAUAGAUAAUCCAGAACAAAUCCCAUUAUAUACGUUUAUUUAAAUCUUCAGCAGAAAUGAAUUACAAACAUUAACACAAACCAGUAUGAUUGAAAAAAUAACACUUUAAGAAGCAAUAAAGCAAAUCAAAUCAUAUAGCCAGCAUCAUCUUAUCUGAAUGGUAAGUCAAUAUCCUUGUUCACAUUAAAAUAAAAUAAUAAUCCUGAACUAAUCCUAUUAUAAAUUUUUGUAUCCAAAUCUUCAAUAGAAAUGAAUCAUAAAUUUAAACAUAAACCUGUAUAUAUCAUCAACAAGUUUUGCCACAUCUUCCUUCCCCACAGGAGUCCUCUUUGCCCACAUCUUUGUAACUGGAAAACAGAAAGUAAGCCCAACAUAAUUAUAAAAGCUAAAAUCAGUAGUUUCCCAACAGACUUAAGAGCCAAAUCUGAAUUAAUUGCAAUCUAUGGAGAGAAAAUAUAAAAAUUCAAUUGAAAAGCAUACAAAUUAUAAUAAAAUUAGCAGAUCAAAAGGUAAAAUGCUGCAAUCUCAGCGAUCCUGAGAAGCUAGAGCAAACCUAGGCAAAAUAACAGGUACAUAAUUAAUAUCCUUGAUCAUAUCCCACAGUCCCACUCCCCACACACCCCCUAGAACACAACCAGACACAAAUAACUGAGUGAUACAAGUCCUACCAAGAACUAAAGCUGAAAACAAUAUACAUUUCACAUCGAACAGUAUAACUGUGAUUGAGUCAAAGACACAAUCAUAUCGACAGCUAAAUACUAGCACUGUGACAACAUAUGUCACAGGCUAGCAAAAGUAAUGCUAGAAAGAAACAUUUAAAAGAUAAUAUAACCCAUAAAUAUGUAUUUCCUUUUCAAACGGAAUGAGAGGCUAGGAAAAGAAUAUUUACCUUGUUCAUCAGAGAGAGCACCUAAUAUCCUCUCGACAAGGUCCUACAAGUGAGAUUUACAGAAAGGUCAUACAUAAUCUUAAGUGACGUAAGAACAAUUAUCACAGCCCCCAAAAUUUUUAAGGCCCUUGCUAAAUCUGCCAGUAAAUAGUUUAAAAUUUUAGGAGCAACAUACUGGAAUACCAAUGACCUCACAGACAAACGAGUGAAAACUCAUUAUUCACCUCUGAACACUCAAAAUACCAGAAGGAGCAAACAAAAGCAGAAGCAUGAACUAAAUAUGAGAAGAGAAAAAAUCCACCUAACACCUACCCUUUUCAAAUAAAUAAUAAUGUGAUCUCAUCAAACAUCGUUAAAAGUUAAAAUAGUUAAAAUACAGUGCAUUAUCUAAAGCUUCUGCUAACCUGCUUCUUCCCCUGCUUUGAAAGACCCAAUUGAGUGAGAACAUCCUUUAGUUCUUUUAUUCGAAAAUAUGCCAAUUUAUCCUACAAUAGGAAAAAUAUAUUGGUAUUAGCUCUCCAUGCACAAUUUCUUUCUAAGAUAACCAAAAAAGCAUCAAUGUACUAGCAUCACGCAUAACAAGAAGCAACUGAAAACAUGUAAAUUUAUCUAUUGACUUUCAGCUUAAGAAUUUAGUCUUAUACUCUGAUUAACAAAGUAAUAUAAUGAGUACAAAAUGCCAUUAUUUAAGAGAAGGUAUAAAUAAAGUUAGAGAAGCAGCUGUGCACAGCUGAUGCUAAUUUUCAGCUUAUAAAAUAACUGAAACCAACAAAAGCAUCCAUAAUGAGCUUACUCACAAACUUAAAACUACUUGAUUUGCAGAAGCCACUUAAGAACAACAGGAUAUCUCCACUAUCAAACUAAGUUCAGUAUUUGAUAUCCCCUCUAUAAUGGAUUAAUAGAUAUCCAAACAUUAGAUUACAUUGCAGAAGCCUAGUUGGUUGAAUUUGAUAAAGAAACAAAUAAUGAUAAUAUUAACAAAAGUUCAGUUCUCGAACAAUUUUCAUUAGUUAACUCCCGUAUAAUUACACUGAAAAAGUGAAAAAAAAAUGUAUCUAUAUUAUUUUAUGCAAAAAACGAGAAAAAUACCUUGCAACUAGCCACCAAAUCCAUAUUCAGUUCACAAUCUGUAGCCAAGCAAAAACCAGUAAUCAAAAAUUUAAAACUCUCAAAAAAAAAGCAAUCGAUCUAAUCAUCAAUAACCAAAACAAGACAGCUAAAUUUUAAAUUAAAUUAAAUUAAUCGAUCAAUAACCAAAAACAUAUAAUAAAUUUAAUAAACCUUACGAGUUCUCCGAUUAUGAAAAAACAAAGGAAAAUUAAAAGAAAACUUGUGAUGGAUCGAAGGAAAGUAGGGGAAAUAGGGUUCGAGCAGUGGAGGUCGCCGACUUUUUUUUCCCCUUUUUUUUCUAUUGACCAGAGAGACCCAAGCAAAAGGAACCAAUUCCUUUGAAAAAUUUUACAAAAGUGACCGGACUUAUCGCCGAUUAUCGAAUUCGGUUUUUUGAACGGAACACGUCCGGGUUUAGUUUCGGUGAAGUUGCGUGUUCAUUUUGUAAGAUACGCCAGCCCUUUUUUAUUCUUUUAUUUGGGAAAUUUCGCGGUACUUAUGUACGUACAUUGACUCUAGCUAGCGGUUGAGUGUGAUUCUGCCACGUCAGUGCUUUUCUGGACUGAGAAAUGAUGGUGGACCUUUUUUAGCCGUUGAUAUUGCCGCGAAUUUUAAGUUUUUUCUUUGGCACAUUUACAUUAUUGAGUCUUUAAUCUAAUUUAACUUUAGACUUAUUACAAGUCAAUUAAUAUCUUUUAUUUUAUAAAUUAAUGUAAAAUAUUUGUUAAACAUUAAAAUAUAUUUUUUUUUAUAAUUAAGAAAUUAAACUUUAAAUUAUAUUUUAUAGUUUAAAUGAAUAUAAUAUUUAUUGUGUGUAUUAAUGAAAAUAUAAUUAAUAAUUUUUUCAACAUUUAUACUAUUAUUAAAGACCAAAUGUUAAUAAAAUUAUAAUAAAGUGUGUGGUUUACCUCAUAUUUUCGACCGAACAGAUGGUGAUAUCAUGAUAAAAAACUUCUUGACAUUUCGACAAUAGACGAUAUCGAGAUGAUGCGAAUGGGAACGUUGCAACAUGGCAACAUGUUUCCCACAUAAACCAUGUUUCUUCUCUCAAUUAAACUCUGCUAUCGUUUCUAAGUAAACUCUAAUUACUUUAGAGGUAUUUUAGUUAUUUAAGCCCUUCAAAGGGAGUUUAUAUCCCUGUUUUAAAAGGUCAAUUAAGAGGCAAUUAAAUAUGUAGUAUUGCAAGGCUUUUUUUGGGAGCGACAAUAUAUAGUCAUAGAUGAUUUUUUAUGAGAGUUUUAGUGGUAAUUACUGUGAGAAUUUUGUUUUCGUUUUGAGAAAACUCUAUGAGAGUUAGGCCUUUGGUUUCGAAGUUUGGGUUUAUAUAUUUAGUACAUUUAAGUUUAUUUUAUUUAUAUUAUAUUAUUAUUUGUUUACUCAUUUAAUGAAAAGUUGAUGCCUCAUUUACUCGUGGUUUUUAUCUUAUUUGAAAGAGUUUUUCACAUAAAUAUUUGUGUUUUCGAUAUUCUCUACCAUUUCUAUUUUAUAAUUUAUACGGAUCAAUCCCAACAUAAAGUUGUUAAAUUUUUCACUAAUAUAUUUAUUUUUAAACAAAUGUAAUUUAAUUUUAUAAAAAAACAUUAACAAAAUCUAAAAAUUUUGUUUUUAAUCGUUUUAUUCAUUUAAAUUUUUAAUCACUAAACUGAUUUUAUUAGAUUUUUUUAUUUUUAUUUUUAUGAUAUUUGUAUUUGUUUAUGACUCUAUAAAAAACACUUUCUCUAAGCAAUAACAGAUUUUUAACACAUCUAAAAUGUUUAUAAUUUGGCGUCCAAUUAUCAAAUUUCCACAUUUUUUGAAUAAUGUUAAAUUAUUGAUUAUAACCUUUUUUUAUCAUAUUUGGAAAUUUUUUAUUAUUUUGGGUUUUUGCCUAAAUUUUUUGUGAUCUUUUUUGUUCUGUUUUUAAAUUAAUUAAAUGUAGACAUUGUAAGGAAAUAAGAUUUUUAAUAAAUAAAUAAAUUAAUAAUGGUAAAAAAUAUUUAAGAUUUUGGAUUUGAAGGAUGAAAUUUAAAAGAUUAAUAAAUCAAUGGUGAAAUUAAGAUUUAGAGUUUAAAAUUUUUUAAUGUUCAAAGAUAAAAGUAAAACAGAAAAGAGGUUAAGGCAAGGGAAUAUCUAAUUUGCUUGUUGAUAUUAGGAAUGCCACUCCCUAAAUUAGAAAGUCCGUUACAUGGUAGCGUGUCUGCACUCUUAGGCAAAUGUCUGCCGAUACGAUUCUAACUUCUAAUGUACAGUGGACUACUUAAUUGAAGUCCAUUUUGUAUUUUGCUUGUAAUGACAUUUUUGUGGCUAAUUCGAAUAGAUUCCAGUUUAAUUAGGAGGUGAUAGAAUAGAUUCUAAUAUUCGAUUUUGUUUGUUUAUUAAUUAGAUUUAUAAUUUAUUUGGUGUUGAUAAAUGUAUCACAUUACAUACUAAAGUUUAAACAAUUAUGAUGUGUUAUAUUAUUGACUGAUGCUUAAAAAGUGACACUUUUUUCUUUAUUCUCCAUAUUUUUGUGGUUUAUAUUUGAGGUUUUCUUUUAUAAAACAAUUAAUAUAUUUUAUGUUAAACAAAUAAAUUAUAUUAAAUUUACUAAAUAAAAAUAUAUUGUUUGACUUGGAAUAAGUCUAAAGUUAAGUUAGACUCAAAACUUAAAUAUCCGUAAAUUGAAAAAAAUGUAAAUUACAUCAAAAAUCACUAAUUAUUAGUAAAUUUAUGUUUUGAAAAACUUAACUUUAGAAAGUUAUAAAAUUAUCACUAAACUAUUUGAAAGUCUUCAUUUAAGUCACUAAGUUAUUUCGAAGUUUUUAGUUAUGUCACUGAACUAUUCAAAUGUUUUUAUUUAAGACAUUGGGUUAUUAAGAUUUUUUUUUAAGUUUAACUUGUGAGUUUUAAGCAAUGAUUCAAUGACUAAUGCAAUGAACCAGUACUUAUCGACAAGUAAAAGAACAUAUAUAAAAAGUCAAAGUCGAUCUCACGAUCAAUGUCGAAGAUUAGAGAAAAAAACUAUUUCAAAUUUGAUUUGUAAAUUCAUAACGUUCAAAAUUAGCUAAUAAAAAAAACCUAAAUUAUAGAAGAGAAUAGGAAGAAGAACUUUGAAUUGGUACAAGUCAUGCAAAUAGUAAAAUGAUUAUUUAUUAAAUAAAAUUUAUUAAAUAGUAUAAUGAUUAUUUAUUAAAUAAAAUUAUACAACAAUAAUUUUAACAUUUUAGCGAUUUAAAUAAAAUUUAUUAAAUAGUACAAUGAUUAUUUUGUAAUCUUUUGAAAUUAAGUAUGUAAAAAGUAUACUUACAAUUAGUAACUUUUUCCUGUAGUUUAUUCAUAUCCAAAAUGAAAAAAUCUUGAAAAAUUCAUGGCAAAGUCAACGGCUGAAAACGUCCACCAUCACUUCGCACUACAAAAUUGCCCGAAUAAAAGAAUAACAAAGCACGGGCGUAUCUUACAAAAUGAACACGCAACUGCAUCGAAACUAAACCCGGACGUGUUCCCGUUCAAAAAACAGAAUUCGAUAAUCGGCGAUAAGUCCGGUCACUUUUGUAAAAUUUUUCAAAGAAAUUGGUUCCUUUUGCUUGGGUCUCUUUGGUCAAUAAAAAUAAGGGAAAAAAAAGUCGGCGACCUCCACUGUUGGAACCCUAUUUCCCCAUUUUCUCUUCGAUUCAUCACAAAUUUUCUUUUAGUUUUCUUUCAUUUUAAUCAUAAUCGGAGAACCCGUAAGGUCCAUUAAUUUGAUUCUAUGUUUUUCUUUGAUGAUUGAUUGAUUAAUUUAAUUUAAUUAAAAAUUUUAGUGGUUUUGUUGUGGUUAUUGUUGAUUAGAUCGAUUGGUUAUUUUUUGAGAUUUUUAGGUUGUUGGUUACUGGUUUUUGCUUGGUUACAGAUUGUAAACUGAAUAUGGAUUUGGUGGCUAGUUGCAAGGUAUUUUUCUCAAUUUUUUUCGUAGUAUAAUAUAGAUUCAUUUUUUUUCAUAUUUUCAGUGUAAUUAUAGAGGAGUUAACUAAUGAAUAUUGUUUGAGAACUGAAAUUUUUAUGAUAUUAUAUGUUUAUUUCUUUAUCAAAUUCAAUCAACUAGGUUUUUGCAAUGUAAUCUAAUGUUUGGAUAUCUGGUAAUCCAUUAUAGAGGGGAUAUAGAAUACUGAACUUAGUUUGGUAGUGGAGAUUUUCUGUUGUUCUUAAGUGGCUUCUGAGAAUCAAGUAGUUUUGUGAGUAAGCUCAUUAAGGAUGGUUUUGUUGCUUCCAGUUAUUUUUUAUGCUGAAAAUUCGUAUCAGCUGUGCACAUCGGCUUCUCUAACUUUAUUUUAUACCAACACUUAAAUUAUGGAAUUUUUGUACUUAUCAUUAUAUUGUUUUGUUAGUCAGAGUAUAAGACUAAAUUCUUAAGCUGAAAGUGAGUAAAUAUAUUUAUAUGUUUUUGAUGCUUGUUAGGCUUGAUGCUAAUACAUCGAUGCCUUUUUUGUUUAUUUUAAAAAGAAAUUGUCUACGGAGAGCUAAUCCCAAUAUGAUUUCCUAUUAUAGGAUAAAUUGGCAUACUUCCGAAUAAAAGAACUCAAGGAUGUUCUCACUCAAUUGGGUCUUUCAAAGCAGGGGAAGAAGCAGGUUAGCAGAGGCUUUAGAUGAUGCUCUGUAUUUUACUUGGUUCAUCUUCUUGUUUGGAAUGCUUCUGUUGAAUCUUGUUCUUAUUGCCCUCUGUUCAUGGUUCACUCUGUUUUUACUUUUUUUCAUUUCUCUGCAUACAGCUAGUAAAUAUUUUAACUUUUUAACAGUUUUUGGUGAGAUCACAUUAUUAUUAUUUUUAAAGGGUAGGUGUUAAGUAGAUUUUUUACUUCUCUUUUUCUCUUCAUGCUUGUUCUUUUUGUUUGCACCAAAUGGUAUUUUGAGUGUGCUGAGGUGAAUGGUGAAUUUUCACUCGUUUGGUGUGUUGCUCCUAAGUUUUUAAACUAUUUACUGGCUGCAGAUUUAGCAAGAGCCUUAAAAAUUUUGGGGGCUAUGAUAAUUUUUCUUUUGUCAGUUAUCAGUAUUUUUAAUAUAAUUUGCAACCUCAUGGUGUAGGAUUAUGUUUGACCUUUCUGUAAAUCUCACUUGUAGGACCUUGUUGAGAGGAUAUUAGGUGCUCUUUCUGAUGAACAAGGUAAAAUAUUCUUUUCCUAGCUGUUCCUUCUGUUUGAAAAGGGAGCUUGUAGCCUCCAUAGUAAUUUAUGGAUUAUAUUUUCUUUUAAAUGUUUCUUUCUGGCACUACUUUUGCUAUCUUGUGACAUAUGUCAUCAGAGUGCUAGUAUUUAGCUGUUGAUAUUAUUGUGUCUUCAACUCAAUCAUAGUCAUACUGUUGGAUGUGAAAUGUAUAUUGUUUUCAGUUUUAGGGUGUAGGUCAGGUGCGGGGUUGCGGGAUGCGAUCAAGGAUAGUAAUUAUGCACCUGUUAUUCUGCCUAGUUUUACUUUUCUUCUAGUUUCUCAGGGUCACCGAUAUUGCAGCAUUUAACCUUUUGAUCUUCUAAUUUCAGUAUAAUUUGUUGACAUUCCAAUGGCUCUUUGUAAUUUUUUUUAGGAGUGCAGUGUCUUGGGUAAGGGUUGUAGACGAGUAUGCUAUUCAGUUGAAUUUUCACAUUUUCUGAUUUUUAGUGUCAUUAGACUGCAAUUAGUUCAGAUUUGGCUCUUUAAGUCUGUUCAGAAACUACUAUGUUCUGCUUUUAUAAUAAUGUUGGGCUUGCUUUCUGAUUUUCAGUUACAAAGAUGUGGGCAAAAAGGACUCCUGUGGGGAAGGAAGAUGUAGCAAAACUUGUUGAUGAUACAUACAGGUUUGUAUUUAAAUUAGUUUGGAAUUAGUUUUUUUCCCCCUUCUGCGAACAAGGACCGACUUACUAUUUAGAUAAGAUGAUGCUGGCUGACUGGAUUUAGUAUAUCAGGUUAUUUUAUGUAUUAAUUAUCUUUAUUUCCUCUUUCUGAAGUGAAUUUCUUGUCCUCAGGAAGAUGCAGGUUUCUGGUGCUACGGAAUUGGCAUCAAAGGGACAGGGUGUGUCAGACGGCAAUAAUGUUAAAAUUAAAGGAGAAGUAGACGAUCCCUUUCAACCAGAUGUGAAAGUUCGUUGUCCUUGUGGAAACUCAUUGGAGACUGACAACAUUAUCAUGGUAAUGAUAAUGAGCUUAAUGUUCUUUUCCUCAUUUUAUGUCAAAUGAUAUGGAUGUCACAAUUGUAUGUUUGGCAUUUUGGGGUGACCACCUAUUUAAGAUUGUUUCUCUGGCUUUUCAAAUUGGGAUUUGUGUUUGCUUGAUACAAAAUAAUAUAUUAUGCUCAAUUUUUGUACUAUUUACUGCCUUUUGGUGGUAUCUUCUUAUGAUUUAGAAUCUUUGCACCUUGACUUGCACAUGCAAGCUAAGUCUUCAAAUCUCUAUACAUGAAGUUGGUAGUUUUUCUAAAACUCUUGAGGCUGUGGUCUUAAUGAAUCUAAUGACUAGUUUGACUGAUUUUGUUGGAUUUGAUAGCAAAGGCCAAUUUUGAACAAGUGUAGAGACUUGUGCACUCUAGACUUCCUCCUGGAUUUUCUUCUUGCCCUUUUAAUUUACGAUGGAACCGUUCAUCUCCCAUAGGUUGACAUUUAGCUCAAAAUUGAAGUAGGUGCCUUUCCCAGUGGCCUUUUUCUGCAAUAGGUAUAUUCUAAUUCAGUUUUCUUUUGUCUACUUUCAUACGAAUCUCGCCCUGAUGCAUGAUAUAUCUUGCUUCUGCUGUUUUUUUUACUUUUAUUGUCCACGUUUUAUUGUUUCUAUUCAUAAUUUCAAUUUGUAUCAUAUGCCUUUCUCCAUUUUGAGAAUGGAUUCAUGAAUUCUGAGGACAUUGCUUUCUUAUUUUCCUCUACAAAAUUGUGCUUCUUGCAUCUUAAAUUGAGUUAUUGAUUUUUUUGCUUUCUCUCAUUGCUCGAUGCAGUGUGAGGAUCCAAGAUGCCAAGUAGGGCAACACUUUGGUUGUGUUAUAAUUCCAGAGAAGCCUAUGGAGGGAAAUCCAGCAGUUCCUGAUUUCUUUUAUUGUGAGCUUUGUCGACUGAAGCGAGCUGAUCCGUAUGUCUCUCCUCUGUUUACGUGUGUCUGUGUUUGCAUCCGUGUGCUUCCAAAUUGUGUGAUCACUUCAUAAUUGAUGAUUAAUCUUCUUACUGGUUACAGUUUGGUUAUUGGCUGAAGUUCAACAUCAUAAUAUAGAAAUAUGCCAAUUUUAUUUUGUAGUUCUGAUCUAACUGAAUGUGUUCUAUCUUUAUAAAUGUUAACAUAACAGACGUUUGUAUAUUAGUUUGGUUGGAUGAAGUUUGUUAUUAGGCUGCAAGAUUUGUAAAUAUUAUCUUACUUUUGUACCUUCCGCAACCUAGGGAGGAGAAAGGGGAAAAAGAGAUAAGUGUGAGGAAAUGUAAGAACUAGUUUUUGGUAGUGCACAUAAAAUCAGUGUUGUGUAGGGGUGCGCUUAGGUGUGCCUGCACAUUGUGCCUUAGUGGUGGACAACAAAAGCACCUCAGACAAUUUGCAAAAUACUGUUAUUUGUAGCUAUAAUUCUAUGCCUAUAUUGAUGUUCAAAAAGUUAAUACUGAAUCAUCCUUAAUAUUGAAGAAAGAUGCUAUUUGUCAAGCAGUUAGUGCUUGCUGCACCUUAUAUUUGUUUUCUACUGUGAACACUUCAUGAAGCAUUUAAUUGGUAUACACUUGUAUUUAUCUAGUAUCCAUCUGGAUGCAUCAAGAAUAUCCUUUCUAGGCUUAACAUUAGUGAGUUAGGAAAUACUGUUCAAUCUGUUAUACCUUGAUUUUAUGUUACAUCCUUUUAAAUCUUGAUGUGGUUCUGUAUGUGCAGUUUUUGGCUUACUAUUGCAAACCCUUUUUAUCCAGUGAAGUUGGCGAUUGCAAAUAUCCCUACUGAUGGGUAAGUUUAUCAUAUGAGAAAUAUUAGAGCUCUUCCCCCUCCCCCAAAAAGAACAGAAAAACAAUUUCCAGGUUGUUUUGGUGUGAAUAUCAUUAUACUGUAAUCUCUAAUGCUUUGUGACCUCACUUAUAGUAGUUUGUUUAGUGAUUCAUAUCCUGCAUUGUGCAGUACAAAUCCAAUGCAAAGCGUGGAGAAAACGUUCCAAAUCACUAGAGCAGACAAGGAGUUGUUGUCCAAACAAGAGUAUGAUGUCCAGGUUGACUAGUGCCAAAAAAAAAGUGUGCAGUUUGGUAUAUUGCUUUUUGUUAUUUAUCAUGAUAUUUUUGUUUUUCAUCUUGUCAAAUAGGCAUGGUGCUUGCUUCUGAAUGACAAAGUUCCAUUCAGGAUGCAGUGGCCUCAAUAUGCAGAUUUACAGGUCAAUGGUACGAGUAUUAAAGGUUUUCUUUGACUACUUAGCAGUUUAUUGUUCCUUUUACGGCUUAAUUAUUUUUCUACUGCUUAUUGAGGAGCAUAUUUCGAUCUAGCUAAAAGGGAAAAUAAAAUAAAAGAAAGAAGCAUGUUUAGUUUUUUUUGACUUGGAUUUUUCCUAAUUGCAACUUCGUUCUCCAGCUCGAAAUCAAUAUAAUUUUUAUGCACUUCUCUAUUUCAACUUUGAUCAGUAACUGACAGUUUUUUAAACAGGUGUUCCUGUUCGUGCUAUUAAUAGACCUGGCUCUCAAUUGCUCGGGGCUAACGGUCGUGAUGAUGGUCCUAUUGUAAGUUCUGUCCUAUAAUCAUAUGCUCCUUAGAAUUUACCCUUUACAUGUUCCUGCAUGUGUUUGGAAUGGAUGGGGAAGCCUGCCGGCAGGUUAUUGCAUGUGAUUGUUAAAGCCUGUUACUUCUUGUUAGCUACCUAAGAAACUUCCAUUGUCUGAACACUUGUUUAUUGUGUAUUUUGUGGCCAGAUAUCUCCAUGUAUUAAAGAUGGAAUUAAUAAGAUAACUUUGACUGGAUGCGAUGCUCGCGUGUUCUGUUUUGGAGUUAGAAUAGUUAAACGACGAACUGUUCAACAGGUAUGUUCAGAACUUCAACCCUAUAUGGAUUGUUCAUACACUGGAAUUGCAAGAUUGAUUGCUUAUCUUUCUGGGAAUUUCUUUAGUAAAAAAUUAUAUAUGUUCCUUUUUGCAAAAUAAAAAGCUCAGCAUAUGAUGUUUUUUUCCAAUGCCUGCUAAUUCUUUGAUUACUUUAGGCAGUCUAGAUUGGUUUGCUCACAAAGCAGAACAGAAUGCAAAUAUAUUUAGUCCUAUCGUAGUUGACCAUGUUAUUUUCAUUUGACUGCAUCGGAUUUAUGUUUCAUAUUUUCUGCAAAAAUGACUACAGAUAAGACAUUUGACUGCCUAUUAAUUAUUGCAAUGUCAUAGUUGAGGUGCCUGUGUCAGUAUGACAUUGAAAUGGGUAUGGGAUCCAAUAAAUUAGACUGGGGAGAAUGCCACUAAAUUAAUUUAAUUGGUUUCCUGAGGAAAGCUUUUUUGCCACUUUUUUUUCCCCUUUUGCCUUCUUCAAUUACUUUAAAAAUCUUAAUACUACCUGAUGAACAAGAGCGUAUCAUCAAUGAAGGUAAUUAGAGGAAAAGAAUGAAGAACAAAGAGAGAAUGGUGCUUUAUCAUGGCUGUAAUUUUAAUAAUUAACUUGAAGAGCUGGAAAAAUUGGAGAGAUUACUGUAGAGGAAAAAACUAGAAAUGAAGAGAAGGAAAUUGUGAGAUCAGAUUUGGGGCUUUCUAAUCUUUGUUAUGCAAAGGGCUCCAUUUUCAUUUUAUUAACAUGGUCAACUGAGUUUUUUUUUUGGUUCCUUUAUGGAUCGUUUAUUGUGCAUACUGUUGCCUGUUGGUUUGCAUAAUAUGGGCCCCUUUCAAUAGAAUAAUUGAGAAUUUAAGAAGUAAUGAGAUUUCUGCCUGAAUUUAUUUAAAUGUUUUGGGCUGGUAAUGAGGUUUACAUGCUUUUAUGAUUUUGGUUUGUUUUUUAGUUUCGGAACCAAAAAUAUGUAGUUUUAGCUUGAGAUAAUGGAUUUUCUCCUACUAAUGGAAAUAUUAGGCAUUUUGUUUUUCUUCAGUCACAUAUUAUCAUAUGGCUUAGUACUAUAGAUUAAACUACAAACCCUGCAUGGGUAUGCAGCUCAAACUAACUUGCCUAUCUCUACUAUGCCUGUCCUAGAUACUAAACACGAUUCCCAAGGAGAAUGAUGGUGAACGUUUGGAAGAUGCUCUUUGUCGCGUUCGUCGUUGUGUUGGUGGUGGAACUGCAACUGACAAUGGUGAUAGUGACAGUGACCUAGAAGUUGUUGCAGAUUUUUUUGGAGUCAGCCUACGCUGCCCUGUGAGUUAUACAGUUUUAGAAUAUGCUAGCAAUCUAUUGCCUAUAUUUCUGCUGAUGUGCACGAUUUUUGUUCUAAAAAUAUUACAUGCAAUUGAUUAGGCUUCAUUUUUCAAGUAUUUAAUUACUGUAGUUUGUGAAGCAUCUCUAGAAUAGAUGGCUAUGUGCCCUGCAAAAUUCGUGGAUCAAAUUCUUGUAGCAUCACGUAUGUGUCAGCUUAGUUACUGUAAAAUGUUAAUAGUGGAGGAAUCUAACUUCUUCAUGUGUACAUGGUUGUAUUAAUAUUGGUAGAGGCUAUUAUGCAUGGUUAUUAAGGUGUACUUAAUGUAAAAAUUACCUGAUGCUACAUUGAGGCACUUGUGCAUGGUCAUUAAUGAAUAAAAACUGGACUGGAGGUGAAAUUGUGACAACCCUGGUUCAACCAGUUGAACCGAAGUGUUCAGUUAAAAAUAAUUUAGAAUUAAACAUGUCUUAUAUUUAAUAUUCAAUACAAAUUAUUAGUUGAUAAGAAUUUGUAUGUCUUUACAUAUGAUUAAUUAUAAGUUCAAAUCUCAUCACUUGUAAAUAAUAAAAUUAACAAAAAAAUGGUUAACUACUGUGUUAAUUCAUGUACCUGUCAUUAAUGAAUAAAAACCGGACUGGAGGUGAAAUUGUGACACCCCUGGUUCAACCAGUUGAACCGAAGUGUUCAGUUAAAAAUAAUUUAGAAUUAAACAUGUCUUAUAUUUAAUACUCAAUACAAAUUAUUAGUUGAUAAGAAUUUGUAUGUCUUUACAUAUGAUUAAUUAGAAGUUCAAAUCUCAUCACUUGUAAAUAAUAAAAUUAACAAAAAAAUGGUUAACUACUGUGUUAGUUCAUGUACCUGAAUAGAUAUUCAGCACCAACCAAUUUGAAUGGACUAUUUCUUCACUGUGCUCUCCUUUUACCGUUGCUUUGUGAUAUUCAUUUUUAUUUGCAUAUCCUUGACAGAUGAGCGGCUCAAGAAUGAAGGUCACUGGAAGGUUUAAGCCUUGCGUUCACAUGGGUUGUUUCGAUCUUGAAGUUUUUGUGGAGCUUAACCAACGCUCUAGGAAGGCAAGCUACAAUAUUACAGUGUUUGUUAUUUUUUGUAAUUCUUUCAGGCUUUUUGACAAGCAUUAGCAUGAAUGCAGUGGCAGUGCCCAAUUUGCUUGAAGAACUACUCGCUGGAACACAUUAUAAUUGAUCCUUAUUUUAAUCGCAUCACAUCCAAGGUCAGUACCCUGUUCUUUAUUUAUCUUCAUUUUGUAAAUUUGUGAUAUUGAUGAUCAGCUAUCAUACAGAUGAGCAAUUGUGGCGAAGACAUUACUGAGAUUGAGGUCAAGCCUGAUGGUUCUUGGCGUGCAAAGGCUAAAAGUGAAAACGAACGCAGAGAGCUUGGUGAUCUUGCACUAUGGCACUCUCCUGACAGUACCCUAUGUGAAUCAGGCAGUGUGGAGGAUAAGCCAACAGCUGAAAUUUCGAAGCAGAUCAAACUUGAAGGUACUUCUGAAGGACAGACAGGUUUGAAACUCGGAAUAAAGAAGAAUCAAAAUGGGUACUGGCAGUUUAGCAAACCUGAAGACUUGAACAACUCAUCUGCUAGUAGAUUACAAGACAGGCUACGUCUUGAGCAAAAAUUUUUACCAAUGAGCAGCAGCGCUACCGGAAGUGGUAAGGAUGGUGAAGAUGCCAGCGUAAAUCAGGAUGCUGGUGGAACUUAUGACUUUACAAGCAACGGGAUUGAACUUGAUUCUGUGCCUCUGAACAUAGAUUCAGCAUAUGAAUUUACUGACCAAAACCAAUCUCCAACAGCAGGAAAUGCAGAAGUUAUUGUUCUUAGUGAUUCAGAUGAAGAGAAUGAAAUAUUGAUAUCUCCUCCAACUAUGUAUAAGGAUAAUCACAACCAAAAUGAUGGUGGGGGACUUGGUUUUCCGGUUGCACCUCCUGGAAUUUCUCACCCAUAUUCAGAAGAACCACCUCUUGGGCCUGCUGCUAAUUUGGGUCUUUUUACUCCCAAUGAUGAAUUCGACAUGCCUCUGUGGUCAUUACCUUCGGGAUCUCAAGAUGGUUCUGGGUUUCAACUAUUUAAUACAGAUCCGGAUGUUGCAGAUACCUUAGUUGAUCUGCAGCGAAGUUCUCUCAAUUGCCCUUCGACAAUUAAUGGUUAUCCAUUGGCUCCUGAGACAACAUUGGGAUCUACAACUCUAGUCCCUACUUGUUCCAUCGGUCAGGUUGAUACAAAUCUAAAUGACAGCUUGGUUGACACUACCCUCUUUGGUGGAGAGGAUCCCUCACUUCAGAUAUUUCUUCCAACGCAUCCUUCAGGUGCAUCAGCAGAGUCUGGUUUGAGAGAUCAAGCUGACGUAUCGAACGGCAUCCGUACCGAUGAUUGGAUCUCACUUAGGCUUGGAGGUGGUGCAAGUGGCGGCCAUGGGGACUCAACAACUGUGAAUGGAUUGAAUUCAAGGCAGCCAAUACCUUCCAAAGAGCGUGCUAUGGACACUGGUUAGUUCCCUUGCUCUUUUGGAAAAAGCGCUAUAUUAAAAAUUUCGAAAAAAAUGUAUAUACUUGUAUCUGGCACACAAGUUUGAGAUUAGUAAUUCACUGCAUUAGAAUUUUUCCUAGCUCCAUCACUGUUCUGAAGUUUCUAGCAUUGAUUGUUACUUCCUUCUGCAGCUUCUCUGUUGCUUGGUAUGAAUGACAGUAGAAAUGGGAAAUCAAGUAGGCAAAGAACGGAGAGCCCUUUCUCAUUUCCUCGGCAAAAACGGUCAGUUCGACCAAGAUUAUAUCUCUCCAUCGACUCAGACACCGAGUAAUUGUGUUCGGCAACUUGUGGAUAAAUUUGGUGAUCACUCAUGAAGAACUGGAUUUGCGUUUCAGUUAAAACACGAAAUUAAAAUUUUCAGAAUGGAAGUGCUGCCAAAUUAAAAAGAAGGGGGCAGCUUCAACGUUGCUGUGUUGAUGACUUUUCCGAGGUGAGGUCGGAACAGGAGGGCUUCAAUACCUGUAAGUGUUGAAAUCUCAUAUUCUAAUACUAGUUUAUUCUAGGCGUGGUAGCAUAAAACAAGCAGUUUUUACCCUAGAGUUAAAAAGCACAGAGGGAGGUCGUUUUUGAGUAAAAAUGUACAGUUAAAUUGGAAUUUUGGGUAAAUGGAUAUGCAUGCAGUUGUGGGGGGUGAAGUGAGCACAAAAAGAUUCCGCCCAUUUUGCCUAUUUUUUGGUCUAAAAGACAGUUGGGAUCAAAUAGAUUUGUAAAUUCACUUAAAUUCAUAGAGAAACCCCCUUUUUAUAUUAUUUUAAUUGUAUUACUUUUGGCUGAAAAUUUUCCGUUGGCAUUGCUGCUAUAUUUUUAAUAGAUGAAUGUGUAGCUUUGUUAUGGUGCAUGACACUUAGGAUCUGUUAUGAUUUUAUUGUUAUGGGUCAAGCUGUUGACAUGUAUAAUAUUGAUCAAUAUCGUAUAUAUUUUGUUUACAUAAAUGAUAUCAUUAUUUGUACAACAGUUUAGGUCAUAAUGUUUUGCAAUUGAGUAAAUUACAGCAGUACACUCAAUUAUGAAAGACUCAACCGCUAGUAAACUUUUUUUAUUAAAAGUUGUAAAAUGGUGAUUUAACUAUUUAAUUGCCUUUUUUUGUCAUCUAAUUAUUUUGAAUUUUUGGGUUUUUUUUUUUUUAACUUUUAUGUUAGUCAGCUGAGUGAGUUUACCCCUUGCAAUUUUGGUUUCUAGUAUUCAUAUUUCUUCGUAAAAGAAUAGUGUUUUAGAAUUUUUUAUAAAAUUUUGAAACAUUAUUGUUAUUAUUUAUAUCAUAUUGAUAUCCAUUUGUUGUAAAAAAAUUGCGAAAAUUAGUUCUUUUAAAAAAGUUGUUAUAAAAAUGUCUUGAAAAUUUCAUAUAUAUAUUUUUUAAAUUAAAAACUUGAAAAAAUAAUCGAAUGAUUGUUGUAUAAUUUUAUCUUUCACCUUCGGCUUGUUUGGUAAUAUAACGUAAAAUAAUAGAAAUUAUGUGAACAGAUAUCAGAUAAAAUAUUUUAUCCUAAAACAUAAAAGAUGACGUUCAAGUUUAGCAAGAAGGAAGAACAUGAAACUGCAACAGUAAUGUGAAAAAAGCUAACAAAGUCUUAGUCUUCAUUUUCAGGUUGAAGAACUGAGAGCAAAUUCAACGCUGAAGAGCCAAUAUGCAUUCCUCGAACUAUGCCUCCAUAUCCAUCUUUUAUUCUGUGGCACAAUAACAAUAUUGAAUCCCACAGCGCUGUUCUCCCCUGAAAAACAUAUACACGCCAUCAAAUUAUUUGAUGAACUACCGCGGGACUAAAAUUCAUGUCAGACUCAUCCACUAUCCAACACAUUACUGAAUCCAAGUAAUAUAGCAUCUAACUCGUAUGUGUUUACAUCUUUCCCAUCAACCAAAGAUGUCCAAAUGAAUCUUAACCAUCCAACCAUGACAAUACUACAUUUGCAACGAGAUUAACGAGAACUGCAAUUACUCACCCUUAUAUCAUCUUCAGAUGCUGACAUCGAAUUUCUUUAGUAGUUAUUAAUAAUUAUUUCAUGCUAUUUACUACCUAUGAAAAAGUAAUUAAAAUAGAGCUUCACCUGAAGAGAGAACUGCAAUUUCUUGUCCCAGUAUAAGGCGAAAAUGGGGAGACUCUGUUUCCCUAUUGCCAGUAUGCAAGCUCCGGGAUGAAGAGUCGAAGGAACACCAGAUACAAUAGCAAUGUACUUCUCUGGAAUCCUGUCUCUCGGCAAGGUUCCGAAGAACAAGGGGUUCUUACUAGAUUGAGCUCCAGCAUACGAAGUUGGUUCAACGUGUAACAUCCAUUUUGGAUGCUCUAGAAAUGCGCAAAACAGGUACAAGAGUAAGUGAGAAUCAGUUGGUAGUUCGUGAGUCCAUUUCUUGUUCUUUUUAUCGUAAACAUCCCCAUUUCCUUGAUAUUCGUAAUUCUUCAAACAGGUUCCUUCAGCAAGUUCUGUGCAAACAAAUAGUAAUUCCGUAAUUUAGGUACACUGAAAAGUCUACCAAUGCAGAACAGAAACUGAACAUUAAAGGGACUGUUGAGAAUACCUCGAAUUCUUCGUACUGUAUAAUCAGCUCUCACACUAUUUUGUGGCAGCAGCCCCUUCAUCCACUCACCUUUCAUCAAUGAAUGAAGCUUUUGGUGUUUGGUAAUGGCAUCAAUACACUCCUGCAUAACGGGGAUAAAAGGAUUUUGUUGAGGGAAUUGUAGUUGAUUGGCUAUAGGCUUAGCUGCAUUUUAUCAAAAAAAGUACCAUUAGCUAAUAUCGAUAAAACUCAACAAAUGUAAAAAAUAAAAAAAAAUGAAAGACAGCAUUGGGAUAACUUACGCGUGGAUGCCUCCAGAGUUUGAACAAGAGUUGCACGUAAUUGAUGAAGAAGCCCUUCUUCCUCAAGAGUGAAUGAUGGUUGCCAUUCUUUCGACCUAUCAGGCGGAGACAAAACAGCCGGAUUUCCAUUGGUUGAUGGAUCAUUUCCUACUUGAUUAAUGGUUACAGAGAUAUUGAGUUUAGCAGCCGCUUUCAUUACCUAUAAGCAGAGGAUUUGUGAAUCUCGUAAUUAAAUAUUUCCUGGGAUUCCUCUCAAAAUUAUUAAAAACAUCAUAAAUCUAAAACAGACAAUACAUAACAUAACAUGACGAGAUUAUAUGGUGAAACUAAAAUGAUAGCAUAGAUGAGCGAAUGAAAAACCUGAACGUGACUGGUUUCAAUUUUGUUCAGUAGAGGGUUUAGUAGAACCGAAGAAAACCAUUGUCUGAGUCGAUCACGCCAGUGCUCGAUUUGAGGAUAGAUUCCCAAAUGCUCAAAAGCUUCAACAUACUCUUCCAUUGACAUCGGAGGUGGAAGCUCGCCUUCUCCUUUCUUUGGAGGAGUGGUAAAUUUUUGGGAACCGGGAGACAUUCUCACAGGCCUCAGUGGUGUACUUCUUGUAGUUCCAGAUGUAUUAGCUGAACUUGCAACAGUAUUCGGACUAGCUAUUCCAAAUCCACUGAUGGUUGGAGGUGGGGUAGCUAGUUUUCCUGCUGAUUCGGUGAUCUUCUCAUCUACUUCAGCAAGAAACUGUUCAAGUUGCUCUUCUGUUGUAAUUUCUUUGGCAUAGGAGGAUCGCUUAGUGGACCAUGGGGUUUUCACUAGAGGCUCUUGUCCCGGUGAAGUUUGACGAGAAGAUAAUGACGAAGUGGAUGCCGGAACAAGAUAUAAUGAAGAAGGGGAGCCCUGAGAUCUGGAUGGUGUAGCAAAAGGGCUCAUCUUAUUUCCACCACUGGUAUUUGAUUUAUUAGAGCUAGCUAGAGACUUACGAUCUGAGCCACUAAUUGAUGGAUGAAGUGGUACAAGAACAUCCGAAGAAGAUGAUGCUGCCAGGGGUUUGGACUUGGGAGGUUUCUUAGAAGAAUCCGGUGCAACUUGCUCAACCUUCGAUUUUACUCCUAAAAGCCCCAGCUGACGUUUUGUUAGGUUAGGUUGAUUUUUAGUUCCUUUAGAAGGAGAUACAAGUGACAAACAACUACUGGUGCUCUUGCUUCGAUGCCAAGAGAUAGCUUUGAAUAAGGCAAAAACCGUUCCAACGAAAACUACAGCUGAUGCAACUUGCACUGCCUUGGCAAAUAUAUCUGAAGCACCAAUAACACAUAUUUCAAUCACAGGAAAUAGAGCACUUAAAUUCAAGAAUCAAAGGAAUUCAAUCUGCAAAUGAUGACUUACAAGCCACUUUGUUAGACAAAUUUCCGAACUUAAAUUUAUCAGCGAACCCAUUUCCACUACAUCAAUGUGAGAUAAAAUGAUUGUGUUAGUGAAAUGAAAACACAUUCAAAUCGAAAGAAAAGUAUAGACAAGAAAGAUAGACAAAAGUCGGUAGCAUUUAAAAGGUUAGUUUUCUCCAUUUGAAAGCAGAGUAAAGGAAGAAAAACUCAAAUUUGGCUAGAAGAUUAUUGAGUCGAGCUCAAGCAGUUGACCAUGCCGAACUUGAGUAUCCUUAUGUUCGAUUCAAGUAGCUUGCCAAUGUAAUAGCCUUUUUUAAUUUAUCAUAUCAAUACAUACUUUGAGCCUAAAAAAUCCAAGGUUGAAGUGAAACAUGAGAAUCAAACUCAUAUUUACUAAGUAAAGAGCUUAAUUGAUCGUAUUCAAGCAAGUUCAAGUUGUUUGAUUUUUAUCUCGAAUCAAACUCAACCUUAAAAGGUGAAAACAGAACGAGUUAGACACAAGUUUUCGAGGUUCAAUUUUUGAACCGAACUAAUAUUCCUUACUGCUUGAGCUCAAACUCUGACUUCGAUUACACCCCUAAAUCCUACUAAUUACCUAACCCUAAUCCUAUCUCUACUUAUCUCUUACUAAAUGAUGCAUAUUGGCCCGCAACAGUCCACAACAUAUCAUCGAACUACCUUUCCAUUGAUGAUUCCCUUACAAACCUCGGCUUUCUUUUAAGUAUUCAUUGAAACAAAAAGGGUCGUUUAAUGCAUUUUUCUUCAGAAACAAAAAUGCAUAUCCAUCACUAGAGAGAAGAGAAAAACCCUUUUUGCUUAAACCCUCCUUGAACCCUAAAACAACCGCCAUAUGUAUAAAAUGUAUGUAUGUAUAGCAGGAAAAGACUUAAAACUACUGCGUUUAAUGAAACAAAAGAAAAAGAAAAAAAAACCAAAAAAGUGUAAAGUAAAGAACCUGUAAAUCGUGGAGAGGAGAGCAAAUGCAGAUGCAGAGAAGAGAGAAAUGAUACAAAGAAAAGUUGAUUUAGAGGGCUUUAAACUUGUCGCCGUUAAAGCGGCGGAUAACGUGGGGUUUUGGUAGACAGAGAACUUAGAGGGCUUCAACGGCGGCGAACCCCUGUCUUGGCCGGCGGCAGCUUGCAUGUUUUAACCGCGAAUUUAGGGGAUUUUGAAAGAGAUCUGUUUUUUUUUCUGGGUUUAUGGCACCCCGCUCUAUUCUCUAGCAGUUUUAGGAACAUAAGCACAGACUGAACAGACACAUUGGUUUCAAAAAAGGGUUAGGGUAAAAUGCAACUAAGGUCAUGAAAUUAUUAAUAAAUUUACAUUUUGAUCAUUUAAUUUAAAAAAGUUACAAAAUGUUCACUAAAUUAUUUUGAAGUUUUAUUUGAAUCACUGAAAUAAAUUAUUAAAAAAAGUUUAUUUAAGUCAUUGAAUUAUUAGGAUUUUUUCUUAAAUCUGAUUAGUAAGAUCCAAAUGACAAUUUAACGAUCAGUAUAGUGAAUUAGUACCUAUUAAUAAGUAAAAUAACAUAUCUAAUAUUUAAUUCAAUCUAACUAUUAGUGCCGAAGGUUUGAAAAGAAAGUUAUUUAGACUUUGGUUUAUAAAUUCGUGACAUUCAAAUGUGUCUCAUGAAAAAAACUGAAUUGUAAAAGAGAAAGGGAAUGUAAGCUUUUGAUCGGUGUAAGUUAUAUAAAUUGAAAAGGCCAUACAACUAAGGGUGUUCAAUCAGUUAACCGACCCGAAAUAAUAUUAACCGAAUUAACCGACCUUUCAAAAUUUUUAACCGUUAACCAAACCGAAAUUUUUUCAAAAAAAUUAACCGAGCCGAAAAUUAUAUGUUUUUUAAUUUUUGGUUAAAAUAAGUAUAAAAUUAACCGAAUUAACCGAAUUAAUUGAAUUAACCAAAUUAACCGAAUUAUUUGUAUAAAAUUAUAUGUUUUUUAUUUUUAUUUUUAGUUUUAGAUUUUUAUUUUUAUUUAUUAAAUUAUUUGUAAUUUUUAUGAUUGGGUUGAGUAAUUGAGUUGGGUUAGGUACUUGGGUUAAUAUAUAUUAGAUUGGAUAUUUAGGUUUAUGUUGGAUUGGGUUUGAGUGAAUAGUGGGCUAUUUAGAUAUUAUAAUUUUUUAUUAAUUUUUUUCGGUUAACCGACCGGUUUCGAACCGAAUUAACCGUUAACCGAAAACUCAAAAAAAAUUUAACCGACCCCCAAUCGAAUUAAUUCGGUUAACCGACCGAUUAACCGAAUUUUUUCGGUUUUACCCAAAUUUUGCACACCCCUACAUACAAUAGUGAUUUUAACAGUCCUAUGACUUCAAUCAAAAACUUUUAAAUAGUUCAAUGAUCAUUUUAUAAUUUUUUAAAGUUAAUUGACUAAAACAUAAAUUUAUUAAUAAUUUAGUGACUUUAAAUGUAAUUCAUCCAAUGGGUUAAUAUAACUUUUAGCCUAUUACCUUGGCAAUUAGAUCACAACUUUUUUAAUCCAUUUUAGCAUUUGAACUUAAUGAAUAGAUUUAUUAUGAUACGUGGAGUUGACAAAUGUAAAAGUUUAACAAUAUAAUACUCUGUAAUUAUGUCACAUCAUUGCUUCAAAAUUAAAAAAAAAUUAAGAGUAUCAUGACAUCAAACUUGAUGAAUUUAAAGUUCAGGAUUAAAAUAGACUUACCAAAUAAGACAAAAAAAAAUGUGUAAGUAAGAAAAUAGACUUAAUUGCUAUAUUUUUCUUAGAGAGAUCAAUUUAAUCAAUAACGACAUUGAGAGAGACAAAAAAAUAUCUUUUUUACCGAAUUCUAAGGUAUAUAAAUGUAUUUUUAUAUAUUAACACAAAUUAAAUAUAUAUACAACAUUUAACUUUACCUUCAAACUAAAAUUUUAUUUUAAUAUAAUAUUUACAUUUUAAUUUUAUUUUUCAUAUUUUAUUACCAUAUAUUAAUAUUAUUAUUAAUUAAAUCAAUGUCACAAAUUAACUCAAUAUUAAAAAUAACAAUAGCACAAUAAACAAUCGUAAUACAUUUAAUAUUAUUAAUAUAAUUUAUUUACGUACUCAUAAUUUAAUUUAUUUAUUUUUAUUUUAAUAAAUUAUAUAUUUAAUACGUUAUUAUUAAUUAUUUUUAAAUUAUACAUUUCUUAUUUAUUAUUAAUUUCUAGUAUUAAUAUUAAAAUACAAAUAAAAAUAUAGAAUAAAUUAUCUAUAUUUAACCUAAUCAUAUCAAUGCUCGAACCUUCUCGAGCAACCUAUAAAUAACCCUGAUCAUUAAGUUUAUUACCCUUUUACCCUCCCAUUUUCUCGCCUUUUAUCUUCUAUCUAAGAGAAAAAAAUAAUAAAAGGAGAAAAAGGGCAAAAAAAAGAAAAAAAAAAUCAUUUCCUUCAACCAAAGUACACCAAACCAUGCCAAGAGGUUCAUCGCAGUCGCAAACCUCCACUUCCUCCUCCACGUCCCGGCCGGGGGUUAUGGCUCCUCGCGGUUCCGCGGCCGCAGCAGCCGGUAUGCGCCGCCGGAGGAUCGUCGGAGGUUCUUCAUCGGCUACCGCCUCUGGAUCCGUCGGUUCCGGUUCCGGGGGCAACAUGCUUCGAUUCUACACCGACGAUGCUCCCGGAUUGAAGAUCUCACCUACCGUCGUCCUCGUCAUGAGCCUUUGCUUCAUAGGUUUCGUCACGGCUCUUCACGUUUUCGGCAAGCUGUAUCGCGCCAAAGCCGGAGCUGGACCGUGAGGGUCUUGGCUCGGACCUGAUCUUCUUUCUAUUCGGAUCUCCAAUCCGUUACUGAACCGGUAACUGAAUUUCCGCUUCACUCCUCUCUUCGUUUCGUUCGUUGUUUGACCGUUUUUGGCGUUUAGUCUCUGUAAAUAAUGAUGGCAAGCUUGUAAUUAUACAGUACUUUUGAAGGUCGUGAACCUUUUUAAUCUGCGUUCAAGUUUGAUAAAAUGAAUAUGCUUUUUCUCUUUGAAGUUCUUGGGGCUGUUCCCUCCUUUUGCUAGCUUUAAUCCAAAAGUGACGUCUUUCACGCUCGUUUUUUAGUUUUUAAGGUAUAUGGCUUGGCUGCUAGUUUUCUUUAACAAUUUAGGCAAAUAUCGGUUUGAACAUUAAGUCGCGCAAUAAAUGUCGUAUGUGGCUCUUUCAAUCACUUUUAUUUAAAUAAAUAAAUUAAAUUAAUUUUUUAAAUGAUCCGAUCCGAUUCUGAAAAUAGUGUUUCAUUAUUAUUUUAGUUUUUUAGGUUUAAAUUUUAUCUUGUAUAUUGAAUUGAUUUUAGUUUUAGAUGAUGAUGAAUUUAUCAUUACACGGUCCUUAAGGCACUGUUUUUAAAAUCAAACCCAACUCGCGUCGAUGGUUAGAUCAUAAAUCGAUAAUGAUAUUGAUUUUGAAAAAAGAUAAAGAUUGAUCGGUAAAACGAUUGAACUAGAUGAAUUGAUAACUUAACCCGUUUACCAUCAAUCCAAUUCAAUUCAAGGAUGCAAAAUCAUCUGUUACAUAAGAUACCAAAAAACAAAGUAUUAGAUAUUAAUGCAGUGAUCAGGUAUAUUAAACUUUUAAGAGAGAAUGUAAAUUUAAAUUUUAAAGAUAACAUUAUGAAUCUUGAAUAAAAGUGAAAUAUACCUCUUCGAUUGGAUCAGAAAUUAAUAGUAGUAUUGAUUUAGAGAAAAAAAUUAAACUGAUUGAUGCGUAAAAUGGUUAAAUUAGAUGAAUUGAUAACCAUCAAUCCGGUUCAAACAUGCAAAAUCAUCUUAAAGUUUGUUACACAAAAAACCAAAAAUGGCCCAACAAGAAUUUGGAUAUUAGUGUAAAAAUAAGGUAUAUUUCACUUUUUAAGAAAAAAUGUAAAUUUAAAUCUUAAAAGAUAAUAUUAUUAGAAGGGUAACUAUGAAUCCCGAAUAAAAUCUUUAAAUUGGAAGAGAUUGCAUGUUUAAUGUCACUCGAAUUCACUAGUUCCAAGUUGCUCCAACAACAACGCUGCGAAUAAUAUUCAAUCUACAUAGCCGCAUUAUUAAAUAUAUUAUUUUUAAGUCAUAUCUUAUUAUUCGAGUCGACUACAAGCACACAUUAUUAACCUUAAUAUUUUCAAACCACUAUCAUCCGAAGAUAUCAAAAACUAUACAUUUAUUAUAAAUUUUUUAUUAUUAAGCAUUUGUUUAUUGACGGUUUGAUGUAUUUUAGGACUUUAAUAUUUAUUAGAAAUAAAUUUUUAUUUCAUUUAUAUCCUUAUAUCUAUUAAUAUAGAUUUGGAGAAGCAUUAUAAAUAUGUUCAUUAGUUAAUAAAAAUCUCUUAUUUUUUAUUUUUUUAAUCUAUACAUGAUUUAUUUUUCUCUUUUUGCCCAUGUGUUUUCAACCCUUUAUUAUUUCGUCCCUAUUUUUAACCCUUUCUUUAUUUUCCCAAUAGCCCCCCAAGUCUGGGUACCUUCCCGAUAACUGGCAUUAAGGAUCAAACUUGAGAUCCUUAGGAACCAACCCCAAUAACUAGCUAUUAACCCAAUGCCAAAUUAGGGAAUUGGCAAGGGCUUCAACCCCUCUUAAAACAAUUUUUUAUUUAGAUCUUUUAAAAUUUUAAAUUAAUAAAAGUAAAAUUAUUUUUUAGCCCCCUAAAAAUAUAAAAUGUUGAUUUAAUCCUUUAAAAAUUAUAAAGAUAUAGACUAUUAAAAUGAUAAAUUUACAUUUAUACUAUCGUAAAAAUUAUAAUUUAAUUUCACUCCUCUGAUUUUAUCCUUUCACAAACCUGAUUUCAAUUUUUAAUCUUUAUGCGUAAAUAGAUUUUAUAAAAAUCAAGCUUGUUUUUUGAAAUAAUUGCUCCAAGAACAAAAAAUUCUUGAUUUUUAUAAGAUUUAUUCAUUCGAGGAUCGAUAUAAGAUGUAUUCUCCACGAUCAUAAACACAAUAUGCAAAGAUUAGUAGGGAUUUUUUAAAUAUUCUGUUUCUAGAUUUACUUUAAUUUUAAUUUUAAUCGAUUUGAUUAACAUGUAUUAUAUGUAUCUUUCAAGGAUGGUGAAAAAUUUGAUCCCAACAUUGAUUUAUCGAGCAAAAUUUUAGAUUGAUAAAGAGUUUCGACAUAUUUUUAUUCAAUUAUUAUUGUGAUUAUUGAUUCUCUUUAAAUUAGGUACCAAAUCUUUAAUGUCGAAAAUUCAAAAAUUUUAAGAUGCAAUCCUCUUUAGAAUAUUUUGAUUUUGAAAAUUGAGAUUCACUUGUAUCAAAAUAUUGACACUAAGUUAGCCCCCCUUUUUGAAAUCCCUAUCUCGAAACGACAAAAUGCCACAUCCAAUAAGUUAGGACACAACGCUUUGAAAUUCCAAGACAGUUGCUCGUAUUUUGAAAACCUUAAAAAAAUUAGAAGGGUACUUGACUAUUCGAACUCAACGAGAAAAGUUGCAACCCAAUAAGUUAGGGCACUACUUUUUCGAAGCUUCCAAACACCUAGCAUUACCUUUUUAUUUUUGAAAACUUUGAAGUCUCGUUUUUAAAACUAAUGCAUGAAGGAGCACAUUAACAUAAUAAAACAUAACAUACAAGAUAACAUAUUAUAGAAAUAGGUAAAUAAAAGCAUAAUAACAAUAACAUAAAUGUCAUACAUUAAUUAAUAUAUAUAUAAGAAAUAUAAAAUAUGGCAAAUUUUAAAUAAGUAAAAUAUACAUACAAAAAAACAACAUCUAUUAAAGAAGAAUAGAUAAAACAUAUAAACAUGUAAUUCAACAUAUAUUUAAACAUAUUAAUAAACGAGAAAAUGAUGCAUGAUGUAUGAUUGUAUAAAAACAAAACAAGACAAACAAAUACAAUAAUAUAUAAAAAUAAUAAUAAUAAUAAUAUAGUAACAUAUGUUAUCAAGCAAUCAACACUUUAUAAAAUCAUGAAAAUAGCAUUUAAUACAUGGACAAUUUAUAAUAUAAAAAAUAUAAAAAGGUUUAAUAAAAUAAAGUGAGUAAUUUGGAUAUAUGUGUAUAUAAUUAAAAUACAAUUUAGAAAUGGGUGAUAAUAAUAUAUUAUAGAUAAACUUUAAUUUUAAGAUAAAAUAAUAAAAAAAUAUGAUAUUGUAUUAUAUCAAAUAAUAUAAACAUUUAAUAAUACAUAAAAAUAUAAUAUUUAAUAGUGAAUUUUAAAAUAGAUAAUAAAUGAUAGUAUAUAAAAAUAAUAAUAAAUGAAAUAAUUUAUAAUAUAUAAUAUAAAAAUGUAAGUUUUUAAAAUAAUGUAUAUUACAAAUAAAUAAAUAUAUAAGAUAUAUAAGUUAAAAUAUAAUAUAUAAUAAUAAUUUACAAAUUUUGAAAAUAUAAAUAAUAUAAUAAAUAAUAUAUAUAAUAAAUUUAAAAUAAGUUUAAAAGUAUAUAAAAAAGGGGUGAAAUUAAAAAAAAAAGUUGAAAAACUAAGAUAGACGAAGAAUAAAAUAAGAACAAACCAGAGAGAGUAAGAACGCAAGAGGGAGAGAAAUUUGAGUGAAUGCUCUCAAGAAUUCUUAUUGCUUCCCAAAACUUCAGUCCCCUUACAAUGAAGGGAGAGGCCUCUAUUUAUAGUUGAGCCUCCCCAAAUCUAACGGUACAGAUCAAUUACAUCAACGGUUAAGAUUAAAGGAUAUCUACAAAUUAAAUCUCCAAGAUUACAAAAUCAUAUAUUCUAAGAUUGUAUAUCAUAUCUAAGAUUGUAUCAUAUCUAAAAAUGCAAUCAUAUCUAAGAUUGUAUCAUAUCUAAGAUUGCAUAUCAUUGAAGAUUAUAUUUCCAUAUGAGUCAAGCUUGUAGAUGGACUUUAAAUCUUUUCAAGUAAUAGGCCAUUCCGAUCAGGCCAAAUUAUAUUUAUAAUUCUGUACUGAACUUGGACUUCGUUUUUUUUUUGGGGUUUAUUAUUUUAAAUACUGAAAUGGGCCGGGCAAAAUUGAGUGUCUACACGCAUUAUAAAUAUGUGCACUUUUUUUCCUUUAUUAGGAAUUUUUUUAUACAGUGAUAAGACCUAUUAUUUACCAAUAAACAUUCAAAGAGAAAUGUUAUGGAAUAUUUUAUUAUUUACCGGAUGCCCAUCAAUAUCAAGAUAAGCUCGAUGUACUUCAAGACUCUAAUAUUCGUUAGAAGUAAAAUUUUAUUUGAUAAAUCAGAUUGGGUUAAAACCUAUUAGAUUCAUAUUGUUUUAUCAAUUUUAUUUGCGAAACUAAAGAAAUUCGUCGUGAAUAUAUUAAAUAAUAAUUUAAUUUUUAAAAAUUAAAAAAAAAAGUUUUAAUUAAGAUUGAAGGAAAAAAGGACAGGAUGAUUGAAUUUGAGACAUUUAAAUAGUUGAAAAAUACAAGCUACCAAUAUAUGAAAACAAGCAAUCAUCAAACUCUCUUGCUUUUGGAAGGCAAAUUGAGUCCUGCUUUGGUUAUACCAUUUUAUCAUGCCAACUACCUUUUAGCUUUUCUUUUUUAAUAAUUUAUUUAUAUUUUUUAUAUAAUGUCUAGAAUUAUCUAUAAUUGCUCCUUAACUCAUGAAUAGGAGGACAAUGCGCUCCAGCACAUUUGAACCCACGUCCUCUUAUAUUGACAACAAUACCCAUCCUAAUUAAGUUAAAACUCGAUCGAUAACUUUCAACUCUUUUUUUUUUACUUUUACCCAACAAUUUAAUUAGAUUUAUUUAUAAAUUAAAUCUGAUUAGAACGGAUUAUAAUUUUUUUAUUAAUCAAAUUAUAAUUAAGAUUUUAUUUAUUUAAUACUUAUAUAUUAUUAAAUUUAUUUAUUAUUAUUAUUUUAUAUUUUGAAAAAACUUAAAUUUAUAAUACAAAAUAAAAUUAAUAUAAAUUAAUGAAAAUGCACAAUCAAUUAACAAUAAUGGCUAAUAUAAUUAACUGUUUUUUUUUAUAAAAAAUAUAAUUAAAAUAUUGCUAUGUAAAUAACACAUAUAUAAAAUUAGGUAUUCAUAAUUUUAUUAUAUAUACUUAUUCAAAUUAUUUUUUAUUAUCGAGAUUAUAUUAAUCAGCUUGUUUUAUUAUUAAAAUUAUUAAUUUAAUUAUUAAAUAGCAUUAAAUCUUUAAAUUUCUUAUUUUAAAUUAUGUUAUAUAAGAUUCAUAGUUUUAGUAAUGGAAGGAUUUAAUUGAUAUAGUCUUGACAAUUUAAUGAUGUAAUUGAUAAAAUUAAAAGGUAUAUAGAGAUAAAAAAAUUAAAGCACCUCUGUUAUAAUAUUUACUAUUACUGACCCGUAACCCGAAUGGGUCUAAGUCGGAUUCUACACGGUUUGCAUGUUAAACUUGCAUACCAUUUGCAGAUCGAGUUUGCGUAUUGAAUUCGCAUGAUGUUAAGUAUUCGCAGGAAGAGUGUUUUAUUCUCCCCUGCAAAAUUACAUGUAAGAUCAUACAUGAAAUCGUAUAAAUACGUGUUAAAUCUAAAAUAUAACAUGUGUUAACAUUCAUGAAAUCUAUUUUGGAAUAUCACACCAAUAAAGAGUAAUGAUGUUAUAUAAAUAUAUGAUUCUAAAGAGGAAACAACAAAACACUCAACAACCUCAAAAUUCAAUAAUCAUAACAAUUAACUCUUGUGACAGUACUAUUUAUAUGAUAAAAAUAUGGUAAAAAACAGAAAUUUAAAGGAUAAUAAUAUUUUUUUAAAAAACACAAAAUAUAAAAAAAAAAACAAAAACAAAAAAACAUGCACUCAAUCUCACCAUAUUUUUCCCCUCAAAAUCCGAUAUUUAAAAUUUUUAUUUUACUAUAAUCACAAAGAAAUUAAUGCAAUAAGUACUAUGGCAGUAACCCCAAAUAAACCAACAUUGUUUCCCAUAGUGAACCUCACAGCUUUAGAAUUAUCAGUAGAAUCAUCAGCAGGACUAUCAGCCACAUCAUCAUCUUUCUUCUUCUUCGAUUUCGCCGGAGCAGGCGCUGGUGCCGGAGGUCUAGGAUCGAAUAUCUGUAAAGGCUGAAGAACUCUAUCUAUUUGAUAAACAGCAAGUUGACCGUCGGUAUAAACUGUACCGGAAACACUAGUAUUAGUCAACCCCGACGUAAUGUUCACGGUGUCUCCCGUCGAGGUAACGUUGAGAGGGAACUUCCCAUCGCCGCUAUCACCGGCUUGGGUUCUUAAAGGGUUACUAAUGGUUUGAAACUGAGCUGAAGAGAGAUAAGUUGGGAUUAUAUGGAAUUGGAUUAACUCUACUUUUUGUUCGUCGGAAAGUGAGUUCAACGUGCCGGAUUUUAAGCUCGAAAAAGCACUGUCGGUCGGUGCGAAAAUAGUGAUCCCAUUGUUGGUGUUGUUGAGUUGGCCGAGUAACUGGUUCGCGACUUGCGUGGCUUUCAUUAACCGGAUAAAAGUCGAGAAUUGGCCGGCUUUUUCGAGGAUUUUUGUGACGUUGGUUGGACCGGGUGGUGCUGGGGAUGAUGCCGGUGCUAGUACUGGUGCUGCCUUUGGAGCUACCACCGGAGCUGCUGCCGGAGCUUGGGCUAAGGUUAAUAAUGUUGAACAACAAGUAUGGAGGAGAAAGAAAAGCAUAAGGUGAUCAAAUUGCUUCAUUAUCAUAUAUAUAAUUAUAUAUAUCACUCUAUAUAUUGAAUAUAUGCCUUAAAAACACUAUGUUUGGAUGUGUUUAUUUUAUAGGAAGAGAAAUGGGGGAAAUUAGGGUUUUUAUUAUGGGAGAUUGAGGGAUCAAAAUUAGGUAAAAUGUUCAAUUUUAGUUAGCUAAUUUUAUUUUUUUAAUGGAAAUAUGAUUUGAUAACAUUGUUUCAGCAAACUCUAUUGCUUGGAAAAGCAGGAAAAACAACAUAAAUAGAUUUUAUUUUUUGGUUUCGAAAAUGUUUCUAUUAAAACGUGCUCAAUAAUUAAUUAUUCGUGUUCUGUAAGUUUAUUAAAGAAGUAAACGAUAAUCACAAUUUUUAAAUACAUAUAUAAAAUAUGAUGAUAUAUAAAAAUUUGUGUAUGAACAUAUCAGUUUUUAUAUAAUGAAUGUGUCAAAAUUUUUAUAUAAAUAUGAUAUAUUAAAUACGAUUAUGACCUAAAAAAAUAUUAUUAAAUCGGAGAAUUAUUAGAAUUAUUAAAAUAAAAAAGUGGUGAAUGAUUGCUUUAAUUUUACUUUGUAUUUGAUAUUUUGGACAAAAAAAAAUUAUACUUUUGAUUGUUACUUUCUACCUUAAGAAAGGAAAAGAAUGUUUCCACAGAAAAAAAUUGAUGGAAAAUGGCUGCUGGUUUGUAUGUUAAUGGGAUAUUCAACUGGCCCUCUCUUCUAAUUUAAAGGGGUAAAACUACGGGCUGACAAGGUCCGGUUCCCUAAAAUAGAAUUUUUUUAUUCAAAUAUUUUAAAAUUUUAAAUUAAUAAAUAUAAAAUUAUACUUUAAUUUUUUAAAAAUAUAAUAAUUUAAUUUAAUCUUUUAAAAUUUAUAAAGAUAUAAACUAUUCGUAAAAAUUAGUAAUUUAAUUUGACCAUUUACAAAAAAAGUUUGAUUUCGCUCCAGCUUAUAUUAAACUUUAAUGAAAAUAAUAAUGAAGUUGAGAUGUUUUUUUUUUAAAUUAAUUAAUUUGUAUAUUAAAUAAAUAUGUAUGAACCUUAGUGUUUUUUUUUAAAUAUUAAUCUCAUCAUAAUUUUUUAUCAUAUAUGCUAUUUUUUUAUACAAUGCUUAAAACUAUCCAUAGCCCUUCUCAGACCCUUAAAUAGGAGGAUAAUGCACUUUAGCGCACUUGAAUCCACAACCUCUUGCAUAGAUAACAAUAUCGAUGCCAAUCAAGACAAGACUUAAUCGACUGAACCUCAGGAUUUUUAAGACCUCGUUUUUGUUAUUAAAGUUAGGCUUUGUGGGUAAAACACUUAUUUUUCUAUUAAUAUGAAAAUACUUUAUGGCAUUUCAUUAGAUCAAUACAAGGGCAGGAGGGCCGGCGAUGGCCCUGAUCUUCCUAAAAUAGAAAAUUCUCUUUUAGUCUAUGUAUAAUUUAUAAAAUUUUAAAUUAGUAAUGAUAAAAUUAUACUUUAACCCCUCAAAUGAUAAAAAAUUUGAUUUAAUCUUUUAAAAACUAUAAAAAUAUAGACAAUUAAAAUUAUGAAAUUAUAUUUUUAUUAUUAUAAAAAUAUACAACUUAAUUUCGCUCGACCAAUUUUUUUUUUUGACUUCGCCCUUGAAACAAUAUGUAAUAGAAUACGAUAAGGAUGUUGUUAAUAGGUUGAAGACAAUUCAGAGGUUCACAGAAGUAUUUAAGGAGAACACUUGUAAGUCAUGUAUUUCUCUUUUAUUAAUGUGUUUGUCAUUUUUGUUAGGUUGGCUAUACAACCUAAUGUAACAGAGUGAUUGGGCUCGUUAAUGACGAAUAAAUACGGUCUUAUCAAGAUGGUUGAUCUUGAUGCGGCCGUGACCAUAACGAGCUUUAGUGCUCGUGCCCAUCUUUUGGCGAUGAACUCAAUUGAACCGAAUAUAUGUACUAAAGAUAAUCAAACCCAAACAUAAAACAAGCCAUAAUAUAACUCAAUAAACCUGCCCAACAUUGGAUUGGCCUCAUUCAGCAAUUGACCCAAGAUAGGGAAAUUCCAAACAUACAUUUUUUAAGCUUAGAAAUAAUAAGGUAAGAAUCACAUUAAAAAAUACUUGAAUGAUAGUCAAUUGAGUCUUAACUCGAUUGAUAUAAGUAUUGUUGUCAAUGCAAGAUGAUGGUGAGUUCGAGUGCGUUGAAGUGCAUUAUCUUCUUAUUUAUGUAUUGAGGAGAGGCUAUAGGUAAUUCUAGAUAUAACAUUAUAAAUUCAUUAUUAUGCUUUACUAUCAAAAUUUGUAGCACACAAAUAAUUUAAUUUUUAUAUGUAUUUAAACAAUAAUUUUUUAUAUUUUUAUUGAACAUAAUUUGGUUCUCUACUUUUACAAUGAUAUUAGGUAGUCAAAAUAAUUAACAUAUUUAGCUAUUUUGGUUGAAAUUUUAAAUCUAUUUUUUUAAAAAUAAUAUUGUUCAAUCAAAAAAAUUAUUUUGGUCUAAUGAACAUGAGAGUGUUAAUAAAAAAACACAUCAACCACAAGAGUUAAGUGAGAUAAUAAGAGUUUCUUCAACCUUAACUAGUUGUCAAGGGUUCUAUCAUUGCAUUGGGUAUGGAGUAAUUUUAAAUUUUUGGUCAGUGUCUACCCUAUUGAUGGGCUUACAGAACGCUCUAGUGGAUAUCUUGGGAAAUUAAAAAGAAAAAUUCACAUCAACUACUAAAAAUAUUAACGGUCCUAAUUAUUUAGACUAACUGAAAACACGACUCUUUUUUUAAUCAUUAUAAGAUAAUGAUAAAUUUGUAAUUUCGAUCUCUCUGUUAUGCUCACAUUUGAGAUUCAAUAUUCAUUAAUUUGAAGUAAUUUGAUCAUCUGAUUUUAUAAUGACAUUAAUUAGUUCAAAUAAUUAACAUCCUUAGCUAUAGCGAUUAAAAUGAUUACAUUAAUUUCUCUCAAAAACACCUCUAUAACACUAUAUUUAUUUCUACUUGAAGUUGGAACAGAUAUUUUUAAAAAAAAUUAACUUCAAUAUUUUGACAAAAAUAAUUAAGAUUAUCAACUAUUUCAACUGUAAAUGAAUCAAAUUAUAUAAAAUUAAAGAACAUAUACUAAAUUUUAAAUUUAAACAUAGCAUAGAGAUAUAACCAUAAGUUGAUGUAAACAACCUAUGCCUAAUAUAAAUUCUAUGUUUAAUUUUUUAAAUUAAAUUAUAAAAAAAUAUCAUGAAUAUCAAUACAUCAUAUCUUAUAUGAAAAUCUUUCAGCACUGAUAAUAAAAUAUUAUUAAUUCAAAUAUGAUAAAAAUAUAAAUAUAGUACUAAAACAAAAGAAAAACUAAAAACCAUAGGAUUGUUAAGAAUAAAAAAAUAAGAAAACCUUAUCCACUCAAUUUUCUGAAAUUAAAAUUUGACUUUGUUGAUGGUGGAUUAGCCUCUAAGUUAGUUACUAGUCACAGCAUCUUUAAUAAUAUUUUUUCUUCAAAUUUUAGUUUUAGUCUACUUUAUUUUUAAAAAAUUUUGGUGGUUUUUAACUCGUAUGUUGGCUUGGUAAUUAGGAUGUUUAUCACCCUAGAUGUAGGAGCGAAGUCAGAAUUUUUUUUUAAGGGGCUAAAAUUAAAUUGAAAUUUUUAAUAGUCUAUAUCUUUAUGAUUUUUAAAAGAUUAUAUUAAAUUUUAUCAUUUUUAAGAGUGACUAAAGUGUAAUUUAACAUUUAUUAAUUUAAAAGUUUAAAAUUUCUAAAAGGUCUAAAUUGUCAAAUUUUCAUUGUAAGGGGGACUGGGGCCUUGUCAGCCUCCCCUAGAUCCGCCUCUGCCCAAAUGUAACUUGGGUUCAAAUCACGCUAGUUACGUUACUGUUAGGAUUUUUAUUUUAAUUCAUUUUAUUUUCUUCAAAUUUUGUUCGUUAUGUUUUCUUUGAAUAUUUAUGUGUAAUGGAUGAUGGUUUGUGGACUAACCAGUUAAAUAUUUAUGGGGUUGUGAUUUAUAGGGGUUUUGGAAAAAUGGUGGAUUGUUUUUUUAGUGCUCAAAUUAGGGAUUAUUGUUGUUUGAUCCUACUCUAUAUGAGCACAUAAUACAAAUCUCUACUUUAUUCAAAUUAUGUUUGGGUUAUUUUCAUAUUUAUUUAUACUUAAAUCUCUCGUUAUGUAUACAUGGGUCUUUUUAGAAUUAUCCAUUUUGAGAAUUGCGCUAAAAGUAAUCAUGAGCCGAAUUGAAGCUUGGAAAUAUUUUUUUCUUAUCUAGAUCCAAUGUUGCCAGCCACGAGUGAAGUUAAAAAAUUAUGCUGGGGGCUGAUUGAGUCUUAACUCGAUUAGAAUUGAAAUUAUUGCCAGUGCAGGAGGAUGAGGAUUUGAGUGCGUUGAAGCGCGUUAUCCUUCUAUUUAGGAGUUGGAGAGGGACUAUGGAUAGUUCUAGUUAUUGUAUAAAACAUAACAGAUAUGACAAUAUUAAUGUUAAAAAAAUUAUAUUGGGGGACUAGAAAUAAAUUAUAAAUUUUGAGAGCCAAAAUGUAGUUUUAUUUUUAUGUUAUCACGUGUUUUUAUAAAAUCUUAACAGUAACAAAAAAUUUUCUCUAGAAAAUUAUUAAUAUUGAUUGAGCCUAAAUUUAGUUAAUAUUAUUACAAUUAUACCAAGUAAAAAGACAUAAAUUUAAAUACGAUUAAACACGAAUUAAGUGAAGCAAGCUGUUAGGCCAUUGAGUAAGACGUUAUGUUUAUAAGCCUUUUGGAAAUUUGCAACCCCCGAAUACCUAAGUUUGGUUAGGUUUAGCAAUUAGGGUUUAAUUAAAAGGAAAGCACAUUAAUACCAUGCAACAUAAGCAAUGGAGAAAAGAUGGUUGAGGACCAGUACUUGUCUCUAGUGCCACCACCCUUAAUUCAAAUCCAAGCAAUUUGUUUACUUUGACUAUCCAUCAUGGUUCGCAUUGGAACAAAAUCGAGUAUGUUUUAUUUGUAUGUUUGUUUUACAGUUUUUGUUCAGGGUUCGUAGUUGUUCCUCUUAACAAUGUCAUCUUCAAGUUUCAAAUUCGAGUCAUCUUCUUAGGAGUGCAACGUAUCUUACUAUUACACUCAAUCACUUGUUGGUCAAUCACGUUAAUUUUAACAAUACAAAUAAAUAAAAUUAUUAACAUAAACGAUUAAUUCGCUCUUUAAUUUAACGUACAAUUACUAAUUUAUCCCUUUUUUUAGAAUAAAAUAAAAUAUAAUCAUGCUCCUAACCUCUAUAAUACUUUUAUCCAAAUUGUAUAUUGAAAAAAAAAUAAUGUAUAGAUUUAAUAUUUAUUCCUUUAAAAAUAAUAUUGUGAGAAUUUUACCUUCGAUUUUGAGAUUAAUAUAAUUAAAUUUUAAAUUUAAUCAAAUUUAAUAUAACUACCAAAUAGCGGUAACAUUUCAAACAAACAAAAUUUAAAAAAUUAGUUGGUGGUUACAAUAAAUUGGAAUUUAAUUUCGGCUUGACAUUAAUUCGAGCUUUCAAAUUUGCAACUAUCUUCAAUAUAACUACCAACAUCUUCACCUCUCAGUUUUCAAAAAUCUUUUACUAUUCUCUUAGCUUUCACCGACAAAAAAAUGGCAGCGAAGCAAACGACGAUCCUCGUUGCCGCCAUCCUCGUAACUGCUUUUUACGGCGGCGCGGUGACAUCGGCGCAGGCACCGUCAGCUGGUCCAGCGAUGGCCAUGUCGCCGUCCGCCAUGGCACCGACGCCGGACUGUAUGACGAACUUGUUCAACUUAUCGGAUUGUUUGACGUACGUGGAGGCCGGAAGCAACUUGACGAAGCCGGACAAGCCUUGCUGUCCGGAAUUGGCUGGGCUAGUGGAAAGUAGCCCUCAAUGCUUGUGUUAUUUGCUGGAUAAGAACGCGACGGCGAACUAUGGGUUCAACAUUGACAUGGAUAGAGCUCUUAAGCUUCCUGAUGUUUGCCAUGUUAAAACUCCUCCUGUUAGUCUUUGUUCAGGUAAUUCUACCUUUCCCUCUUCUUUUUUUACUAUCUUUCAUGAAUUUUUGAUGGAGUAUAACUGAUCUUGUUGUUUGGAUUGAGAAUUGGCGGGUAAAAAAUUGAAUAAUUUUGAGUAAGAAGACUUAUAACAACCGAAAAUUAAAACAGGAAAACUGAUUGAAUUGAUUUAUAGAUUUUUUUAAUUGUUUAUUUAGUUAUUGGAUGAUUGAAUUGCUUGAACUAGAAGAGGUGCGUGGAAUUUUUGAAACAUUGAAUAUAACGAGGAGAAUUAAAUAUUGAACUCAAAUUUGUUAUAAUUGUUAGCGUUAAUUGUAAGAUAUUUUCAAACUAUACUUUCGAUUUUAAAUUUGGUUCGAAAGUUUAAAAAUAUUGUAAUUAAAUUUUAAAAUUUUUUUAAAGAAUAUUAUUUAUAUUAAGAUGGUCUUUUGUCGAUUCAAAUUUAAUAUGAAUAACUUUAGAUAUUAUGUUUUCGAAAAACAUAGAUAUUGACAAUUUAAGAGGAUUAUAUUUUAUUUUAAUACAUUAAAUCUAAACUAUUAUACAUUAAGUAUACACAUGUUUAUAGUUUAAUUUAGGUGCUUUAAAUUUGCUCAACAUUUUAUCCAACCUAAUAUAUAACUUUUAAAUUGACGACUAGGUUAAUAGAAUGGCUUGAUUGAUAUAAUAUUAAAACAUUGAAAACUUAAUUAAAACAUCUUGAAGUUUUUGGACCAAUUUAACAUUUGGACCAUAGUUUGAAAACAUUUGUUAGAAUUAACCCAACAUUUUCAAAGAUAAUUACAAUAUGAAUCAUAUUUGUUAUUUUUAAUACAAUGUCUAGAAUUACCUAUAGUCGUACCAAACUUAUAAAUAGAAGGAUAAUGUGUUUUAGCGCAUUUGAACCCACGUCUUCCUGUAUUGAUAAAAAUAUCCAUUUCAAUUGAGCUAAAAUUACAUCGACGAGUAGAAUUUUUUUUUUGGUAACACAAGUGAUUUUAUAGUAUUUUUAAAAAAAUAUAUUUUUAGUGGUGAAUAUAGUAAUAUAUAAUCAAUUUAAAAAUAUACAUUGAAAUAAAGUUUUGACUGUUGAAUUUAUUAUUUCCCGAGUCUGUUUUAUAUAGUAUAAAUAUAAUUUUUAUAAAUCAUAUAAAUUUUGGUUAAUAAAUAUAUUCAUGAUAUUUUUUAUUUUAUUUUUUAAUGUUAAUUUUUUUGGGGUGAUAUUUUUAAUGUUAAUUUUUAUACAUUAUAUUUAAAGAAUAGUUUGGGUUGGGGGGAUAUGGUUGGGUUUCAUUUAAUAUGUUUGAUGAAGGCAUUUAAGGUCUCUCGGUUAGCUCUCAACCAACUUUACCGCUCUGUCAUUUUUCCAAUAAAUGAAUCACGUGCACACUGCCUAUUUCAUUUAAAUAAGAUUUUAUUACCAAAACAUUAAUGUUAUUUUUUUUAAAAAUCUUAUAAAUUGUUAAUUUUUACUAGAGAAAUUAUUUUAUGUAAUUUUCUCAUCAUAUUAUUCAUGAUUUUUUUAAUUAUUUAAUUAUAUUUUAGUAAAAAAAAUUUAUGUUAUUAACACAUAAUUUUGAUAAUUUUUUUUUAUCUUGAACCAUGAAUUUUAAAUCUCAAAUUCUAAAUCUUAAAUCUUGAACUCUAAACUUUGAAUCCCAGGUUAUUUGAAAUUCAAAGUUCGGGAUUCGAAUCUAUGGUUCAAAAUUCAGGAUUAAGGUUCAAAAUUUUGGAUUCUGAAUAAAAAAAAUUAUUAUCACGUAUUAUAUUUAGUGUAAAUAUUAUUAUCAUUAAAAUUUUAAUUAAUAUUAACAAUUUGUAGUCCAAUUCUCGUCUCAAAAUUUUAAAAAUAGAACUUAAUCAAACUUUAAAACCAAGUUUUAUUCAUUUACAUAAAACUUGAACUUUAAAUUUAAAGUAUUUAGUUGCACAUGUAUGCUUAAGUUGAACUACUAACAUUUAUUUCCAUGAACUCAUAAACAGCUAUUGUCGGGGCUCCAAUCGGAGUUCCAACUCAAAGCACUGAAGGAUCUAUGUCACCAGCAUCCGAGCCAACAGGUUCCGUAGCAUACGGACCGUCUCCAUCCGCCAUGGCACCAACACCGGACUGCAUGACAAACUUGUUUAACUUGUCGGAUUGUUUGCCGUACGUGACGGCCGGAAGCAACCAAACGAAGCCGGACAAACCUUGUUGCCCGGAGUUGGCCGGGCUCGUGGAAAGCAGCCCUCAGUGUUUAUGUUUAUUGUUUGAUAAGAACGCGACCUCGAGUUAUGGGGUCGACAUUGACAUGGAUAGAGCUCUUAAGCUACCUAAUGUUUGCCAUGUUAAAACCCCCCCCGUUAGUCUCUGCUCCAGUAAGUAUAUUACUUUCUUUUAAGAAUUUAAUUACGUCUUAAAAGUAUCGAUAAAAUAUCAAUCGAGACAUUUAUUUAACUUAAUCAUUAUCUCCAACAUUAAAUGUAAGUUAAAUAUAUUGAAAAUACGUAAUCACAAAAUUGAUUUUUUAUCUGGAAUUGAAUUCCUACAG